This 71495-nucleotide long non-coding RNA is filed under the name Linum usitatissimum (flax). Its description in RNAcentral is "long non-coding RNA (LUSI_LNC003609)". The stretch from base 57501 to 57581 matches the Rfam family "tRNA". Lineage: Eukaryota; Viridiplantae; Streptophyta; Magnoliopsida; Malpighiales; Linaceae. The record is from RNAcentral.
UUUAUUUCUAUCGCUCGGGUUAUCAUAAUAGAGUAUCUAAAUUUGUAACAUUAUAUGUAGUAUGUAGUCUUUGGGCUACGCCCAUUUUCGUCAGCGGUCAGGGUGCUUGGGUCAUACCAGUCUUAAUCCGAUUUUUUAAUAUAAAUUGAAAUGAUGCAUUCUGACUUAAACCCCAUAAUACAACCAAAAAAAACAUACAACCUUUUCUCAGCCAUAAUUUUUUCGACACGUAAACAUUCUUCAAAUUCUCAUCAUAUAUACUUUCACCAUAACAUUUCCUGCAAAUAGUUCAGGCUACUUCUAAAUUCUAAUACUCAAAGGAAAUCCAGAAUCCACCCUCCUAAUUAUGUGCCAAAGGGAAGUGCAAUAGUUGAAUGGUGGAGUGGAGCUUUCACAGUUAAUUUCAAGGUAUGAAAAAGGAUAAGAUUGUACUAUUUUGGCCAUUUGCUUAGCACAUGCCAAGAGCCCGUGACUGCCAUUUAUCCCCAAUUUUAACACAAAAUUGAGAGUUUAUUUUAUUAAAUUACAAAAUCAUCAUGUGUUUCGAAUAAGGAUGUGUGCACAUCCAAGCAUGUUAGGGUUUUGUUUUAGUUGGUAGUCUUAGUCUUUUGUUUUGUAUUAAUUUCAAUUUGUUGCUUCCUAUAUUUGGAAUUUUUUCGAGUUCCAUGUUCCCUUGUCAUGAUCUUUAUUAUGAAUAGAAAAGAUUGAGGUCUUUCUGCAAAAGUAUAGACCCGCGACUCAUACAGCUCCGAUUGAGAUCUUCUUAUUAAGCAUUUUGUAUGUUUCUCGAUUCAUAUAUAUGAGAAUUACUUCUCGAUUCAUAUUUAUGAGAAUUACGAUGAGGGUUUCUUUUAAAAAAACAUUUAAUAUAUGAAUAAUUUAAAAAUUAAUUAUGUGCUCGCUUUCCAUGUCAAUAAUAUACCGACAUUAUUGAUAAAAAAUAAUAAUUAUGUGGUCUCCUAGACAUCCAUAAAACACAUUAUUAGAUUACAAAAAGUUAUUAUAUUAUUGAUGAAGUAGAUGGGUUAAAAAAAACCCCAACAAAUUUUCUCAAUAAUUUUACUUCCUAAUCAUUCAAUUUUUAAACCUACUCCCAUCCUUAUGAAUACAUUCACUUCUAUUUUGGGGAUAACACAGUCACUCCCACUAAUCAAAGAAAUAGAUACAAGAGCUUUUAUUGACAAAAUAUGAAAUCCCACCAGCUAGCUAGCUACCCACAUUAAUAAUUAUAUUGAUUGGCUCAUAUGAUUUUAAUAAAUACAACAUAAAAUCUAUUAGAAAACUUUCCCAACGACUCGAGUUAUUGACAUACAAUGGUUCUUAAAAGAUUAAGAGGUUUCCAUUUCGAAUUUCCCCCAUUCCGUAACUUACCUUGUGAAGCUGAACGUGCAAAUUAACUCUUUUGAGAGCUUCUGUUUAAAGGGUAAUGCUAAUAAAUAUUAUUAAACUUAUCAAAACCAUUUCCCAAUAACUAUUGAGAUGUAACAGUUCUUAACAACCUGAAUCCUCUGACAUGGAUCGAACCUGCGUUACCGAACGUGUGGUUACAUUUUGUUUUUACCUUUUUAACUGUCGGGGCAUGUGAUUCAACUCCAUGAUCAUUUGUUGAACUCUUUGGCCUAAUCAUUCACAUGAAACCUUGUUUGGCCUACUUAAUUAAUAAGAUGGUGUCCUGCUCGUGUUUCUGCAUGAUUACGUUAAAGACAAGAACAUGCAUUCUGUGCUUGCAUCCCGAUAUAUAUGAGGAUUUUGGAUACGUGAUUCAUAUUGUUUUGGAUGAGUACACGUGUUUUUUCACUCAUUUUUUCGUCGAGACAAACAUAUAUUUUGUGCGCGUGUUAUCUGUACCGUGUAUAUCGAUAAUCAAUUUUAUUUUAACCAUUUAUUUGUUGAUAACAUGUAUAUUAUUACCACACGAAUAUAUACAUGUAUUAUGGGUACCAAAGCGUUUUCCAAACAUACAUAUAUCCCUCAAAAAAUAACUUAUCGAAUUUUUAGGUUAUAUUUCUUCUUUUAAAAUAUCAUUAUGUACAAGUAGAGGUGUGAAGUAUAUAAAUUGAAGCAUAAGCAUUAUAUCGGAAUUCUUAGUUAACUUUUAUAAAAGAUAAAAUUAUGAUUAGAUUUUUUGUAUUUAGAAUAGUUAUUAUUUUAUUUUAUGUAGUUAUGAAGUAUGAAAUGGUAAAAUAUUUGAGUAAAGUAAUAUGAGAAUGGUUCACUAAUAUUGAUUUAUAAAGCUGAAGUUCCAAUAAAUGUUUGUUUAAUUAUUACCGUUUUCCUGUGUCAAACGUCUGGCCUAUUAGCUCAGCUGGUUAGAGCGUCAUGCUAAUAACGCGAAGGUCACAGGUUCGAGACCUGUAUGGGCCAUUUUUAGCAUCUCUUUUUCAUCUUCACCAAGAUCACAAGUUGGAGCUCUGCAUCUGCAUGCGCCGUUCCUUUUUAAUCAGUCUUCACUCUGCAGAUUAAUUACCCUUCUCAAACAAGGAUUACUGAGCUUUUCUGCUUUCCGACCAACCAAUGAAAGAUCUCGAUCGUGAUUCUUAAGCUUACAGUCUCAUCCCACCCAUUGAAACACCCACAAUUAGAUUAAGGUACACCACUCUAUGCAAUGAACCAAUGAUGUAAUGCUCGUUUUAUUCCUGCGCUGCUGCUGCUGUUUCUUAAUUUGUUUUUGCAGUGUUUGGGAAGUGCAUACCACCCGGAUCCCGUCCUUAAUACCACCUUUUCAGUCCAAGUACUAGCUAGCUGGUAUGCAUGGUUGCUGCUGAAUCAUCUUUGCAAGUUGACUUUUUAUUUGCUCUGCAUCAUCAUCAAUCCCAGGUUUUGCUUUCUCAAUAUGAGAUCCUAGUCACUGUGUAGUUUAAUUUAAUGAUGCAAAUUCAAGCACGUGAACUCAAUUUCAAGGUGGACACCCCACUUGAAUGGCCAGAGUAAUUAAAGAACCGAACUUUCUCGGUUUCGAAUCCAGCACACCCCACAAGCAUACACCAUUAUAAUGUAUAUUUACGGAUUUCUAUCUUGUACUGAUCGAAAAGUCUAUAUACCUAAUAAUAAUAAUAAAAAAGUAUGUAAUUUCAUAUCAGUUUCAACAUUGUGAUCACUAUUAUUCUCUGUGAGAUUUCUGUGAUGUUUCCUCUGUAAGUGCUCUAGUAAAGUGGACAUAGCAUUAACUCAACUACAUAUAUACUACGUACUAAAACCCUUGAGGUAAAGCACUGGAAAUAUCUUUAUGAAUAAAAUAUACAGAUUCAUGAACUAGUUAAGUGGCCUCAUCCUCUCUGCAUCAGAAAGUCAUCAAACAAGCAGUAGUGGUAAGACUAUGAACAGUUAGAACCUCUGGUUUCGUUAUCAGACAAUGAAACAAACACUUCCAACUUUCUAGUAGUUUAACAUUGUUCAUGGAGAUUAGGUUUUCAAAAUAAGUGUUCUCCUAAUUAGUAGUGGAGUUGCCACUUUCUUCUGAUUUGCAGCCAAUGAAACUGGCUCUUGGGGGCUUAUAAAUUCAUGCUGCUGUGGGUCUCUCCUCUUAACUCACACACAAAGAACUAAAAGAGUUAGCCACCAUCAUCAUGGGUUACACAAACUUCUUAGCCUUCACUACUUCAGUACUUGUUCUUAUAACUUUGUCUACCCUUCAUCAAGUCACUCCUUUCCCUUCUGCUGCAUAUUCUUCUUCUUCUCCUUCUUCUUCCGGACCUCUCGAUUACAACUACUACGACCAGUCGUGCCCUCGUCUGUCCAUGAUCGUUCGGUAUGGUGUAUGGUCAGAAUUGCUGCUUCGUUGCUCCGUCUACACUUUCACGAUUGUUUCGUCAAUGUAAAUAUACAUACAAAUUCACUAGAAACUAGCUCUUUUAUUUUAUUACCAAAUCCCUGUUAAAGGGUAUAAUGUUAAAAAUCUUAAAAAAUGUAAUGUAAAUUAUUAAUUUUAACGGUGGUUAGAAUCUGUUGAUAAAAGGUCAGUUUGGGGGCAAUGCUCUUAAAUAAUUCUCUUAGGGGCGGUUGGCAACUAGCUGUUAAAUGAACUCACUUUAAGAACGGUCAACUCAACCACUAAAAAGACUCACACCUAACAAUAUGAAUAAAAGUCGUCGUUAAAUGAGCCCAAUUUCUUAUAAUGAUCUUUCUGUUUCACUAACUAUUGAGUUUCGAUUUUGACUACCAUGUUGAUGAUGAUAACAGGGUUGCGAGGGUUCGAUCCUGCUGGACGACACGGUAGCUUUCAAGGGGGAGAAGAAUGCACAAGCGAAUCGUGGUUCCGCCAGAGGGUACGAGGUUAUAGACAGCAUCAAAUCUGAUGUCGAAAAGGCUUGUCCAGGCACGGUCUCAUGCACCGACAUAUUGGCUCUAGCAGCGAGAGAAGCUGUUGUUAUGGUAACAAAAAAAUGAUUGCUUAAUCAACCAUGAUAAUUACAUCGCUAAUCAUUCCUAUCAAAUUAUGAAACUUGAUGGGUUGAACACCGAUGAGUCACUGAACCAAAUUCUGACGUUAUGACAGACAGGAGGGCCUUAUUGGCCAGUUGCAUUAGGGAGGAGAGACACGUUGACUGCCAGGGAAGCAGCAGUUGGUCAACAGUUGCCAUCUCCUAUAGAGUCAUUGGAUGACAUCACCGCAAAGUUCAAUUCCAAGGGCCUUGACCUUAAGGAUGUUGUUGUCCUUUCAGGUUCGAUACCCAACUCGAAACGAUCUAAAAUAUCAUCCCAACAACUCGAGUUAAAAUCCGAUUGUACAUGAUUUGAAAUUGCAGGAGCACACACGUUAGGAUUUGCACAGUGCUUUCUGAUAAAGAGGAGGCUAUUCAACUUCAAGGAAUCGGGCAAGCCAGACCCGGCACUCGAUUCCUCUACGCUGACGAACCUGCAGGGGAAAUGUCCGAACAAGAACGAGUCGAACUCGAUCCUCGUCCAGCUCGAUUCGACAACGACCCGGUUCGACAACAUGUACUACACCAACCUCGUAAACAAUGCUGGCCUGCUCGACUCGGAUCAAGCCCUGCUGAUGAACCCGACAACCGGGGACAUGGUCCGGUCCUAUAGCUCGAACCAGUAUUUGUUCUACAGCGACUUCAAAGCAUCGAUGAUGAAGAUGGGCAGCGUUGGUGUGCUCACUGGGAAGGAUGGUGAGAUCAGAAGGAAAUGUGGAUCUGUGAAUUAGUAUAUUUCGCCAUGAUGAUGAAAAUAUAUAUGUUACACUUUGAGCUCGAAACUUGAAGCUUAUUUAGUGUCACUCAUGUACAACUUAAUUAGUUGAUGUGUUCAUGUGGAUGUUAUGCUAUGGGUGUUUAAUAAUGAAAAAAUAAUAUGGGAAAAACUAUGGCUGAGGUUGGGUUCAUCGAGUUUACAUUAUGGAAUUAUAUAAAUAUCAAUUAAAUUUUUUUCCCCAGCAAUUCGAAUUAUUGGAAUGUAAGGAUUGAUGACAUUAUAUAAGAGCAUUCAGACAAAAAAAUCAUGUGUUCGAAUCUCUAUGACUCCAAUAUUAAAAGUGAAUCUACAUCAAAUUAUAAGUAAUUUAUAUAACACCCCCUUAAUCCUUUUUAACAAAACUCAUAAAAACAUGAAUCUACAUCAAAUUAACUAUAAAUAAAAAGUAAUUAAUUAAAAGUACAAAUCCUUCAAAUUAAACACUCUAUUAACAUUAAUUAAUCCCCACCACCAACUUUAGACUUGUGUUGCUCGUCACCUUCUUCUUCUUCUUCUUUACUCUUCUGGGUUUCUUCUCCCGCGGCCACCUCUUCCGCCACCGGCGACAACGGGGGCGGCGGCGGCGGCGGAGCACGACGUAGGCGACCGUCAACGCAAGAGGAGCACUUAGUUUCGACCCAACUUUCCAUAUCGUAGCGGCCGGCGCCGUACCCCAAAACCCGGCCGCCGUAACAUACCCUUCCGAUGACGCAAGCGAUUCCUCCCAACACCGUUACGACCGCCACCGCCGCUAUCGCAGCUCCAACCGAGGCCAUUGAUUGACUUUGUACGUUGUUGGGUUUUGAAAAUAUACUGCUCUGCGAGUGAAGAAGAAGAAGAAGAGUAUGUUAAAACUUAAAAGCUCUUCAUCUCCAAUAUUGAUGAGUUUUGGUCAAAAGGGUUACGCUUUUUAAUUUCUUCAAAUUAAAGUUCCUAAAUAAUAAAGGUUGGAAAUUGGUAAUGACUGAUGAGGAUGUUUUCUGCCCUUUUUUUAAUUCCAUCUUUAAUCUUCUCUUUUUUCGAGCUAAUUUUUUUAAACAAAGAGAUAACAAACACAUACAAAUUGAAAAUUAAUCUAAAAAAUAAGGAUUAUCGAUAAUAAAUGAUAUUUAAAAGCCUCGCGUAUCAUACAAUAGACGGCUCUGUUACACGAUCCCUGACAGAGAAUAAAUGACAGAUCUCACCAACAAUGGAGCUCCUAAUCAUCGAAUUAUUUGAAAUCGGAUCUCGAACAAAAAUGAGAUGCGUGAUCUUAAACCAAGGGCUCAUGAGAACCCAAAAAAAUGUCCAUACCGAAUAUCAAACAGAUACUAAUCCAACAUCACCUUCAAAAUCGACCUACAAAACUCCUUAACGAAUACCACAAACACACAUUAUGGACACCCAAUUAUAAUUAUUACUUAUUUGGUGUAAACUCUAAUAUUCGACUACUUACCAACUAAUUCAAUAGAAAAAUUAUUCCGAGUUAAUAUUUUAUUUUUCUCAAAACAUUAUUAUAGGGAUUAAUGUAGUUUCUGACAUCACUGCACCGAAAAUUAUUGAUAAUAAUUAUUACAUGUGUUUAAUCCCAUAAAUAGAAAAAAAAAUUAGCUAGAUUUUGUUACUGAAAACAAAAGAUUAGGCAUGAAAUCAGAAAUCCCCAAGCCGCUGGUUCGAUAAUUUUAUGAGAUGGGCUAUAUUCAAUGUCGGCCGUCGAUGGCUUGGCGGGCUGGAUUUUACCAUCAAAACUCCACCGGGCUGGGCUUUGUGCAGCUCAAUGAGUGAUUGGCUGUAAUGGACUGUAAAGGCCUUUUGUCAUUUGCCAAUUGAAUGUCAGCCCGUUUAGAUUGAAUUAAUAAGGAAAUUGGGAAUUAUUUCUUUUUUCACAUGUUUUUGAAAAGGGAGUUAAAUUUUACAAGGGAUUUGUGUAUGUAUAAAUAUUAUUAAAGUAAUUUUUAGGUAAAAAUAUACCUACUAUUAAAGUAAUUUUAAAAAUUAAUAAAUUUAAAUUAGUUUUUUUUUCAAAUUUAAUUCGCUUAAAGCCAUAGAGUAUAUGAAUGUAAUAUGUGAAAUAUAAUAAUUGGCAAUUCGACUUAUAAAAAUAAUUUGAUUUAAAAUUCAUCACCCAAAUAAUAAAUCAAUUAAUAUAAUAAAUGGGUUUCGUUAUGCACCUAAAUAGUAAAUUGAAAAUAAAGUUUUUUGUUACAAUUCAGGUGCACUAAUACGUAUCAAUAUUGAUGUGAGCAAACCAUAUGAAAUAGAGUAAAGUACCAUAAAAUUUUACAAAUAAGAGUAAAUAUCCACUUUGUUCGUCCCCUUUGAUAUUAAGGUAAAAAUAGCUUUUUUUGUCGCGGAAUAUGCAUUCUCGUUGACGAUACUUAUCACUAUAUCGUAUACUGUCAUUUUCCUUAUCGGAUUUUAUAAUGAAGACUCGAUUUUUUCUCAAUAGGGUAAUAAUGUAGGGGCGGAUAUAAUAUUGAUGGGACGAUGAUAGUGAAGAAUUAAAACAAAUGAUUUCAUUUUUGACGACAUAUAUAUUUAAUUAGGGUUCCGCGGCGUGAAAAAAGAACUAUCUAGAACUCCAUUGCCAACCUUCCUCAUUUUGCAGGCUUGUAGCAAUAAAUACACACAGAAACGGUCGCUUUGUUUUCCCUCAUCAGUCUCCUCCUCAAAAGUCUCCAUUUGCAAAUCAAAGAAUCUGAACACAAACACAGAGUACUUCGAAUACGAACCAGCAGAAAAUGGCGCGCCCAAGGUGUUUCUUCGACAUAAGCAUUGGCGGUGAACUUGAAGGCCGGGUUGUAAUCGAACUCUACAACGACAUUGUCCCUAAAACCGCCGACAACUUCAGGGCUCUCUGCACCGGUGAGAAGGGCAUCGGUCCCGCCACCGGCGUCCCUCUCCAUUUCAAGGUUUUCACUCUCUCUAGUUUUAAAAAGGCCAUCUUUCUGUUCCGAUUGCUUUGCAUGAUUGUUCUUGGUAGUUGCUUGGGUGAGCUGUUAGUGUUUCGUGCAGUAAUGUAGGUUAGGGUAAGGUUCUUUUGGUACUGUGGAGAGAGUCCUGAACCGUUGCUCGUUGGAUAUUGAUUUCGAAGAAGUUAUCGUUCAUUUGGAAUUGUAUGUUUUGUUUGUUGGACCCUGUUGAAUCUUAUCAGGGGUAUUUAUCUUAGGGAAAGUUUGGAUAUUGGGAUCUAGAUUUGGUAUUUAUCUUCUUGUUUGGAUAUUAGGGAAGCCGAUUCCACCGUGUGAUCAAAGGGUUUAUGAUACAAGGCGGAGACAUCUCAGCCGGAGAUGGUACUGGUGGGGAAUCCAUCUACGGGGCGAAAUUCGAAGACGAGAAUUUCGAGAUGAAACACGAGAGGAAAGGAAUAUUGUCCAUGGCGAAUUCGGGUCCCAACACGAAUGGUUCGCAGUUCUUCAUUACCACAACUCGUACUCCUCACUUGGAUGGGAAGCAUGUGGUGUUUGGCAGGGUUGUUAAAGGAAUGGGAGUUGUGAGGUCAGUUGAGUUGGUCAACACUGCUGAGGGAGACACUCCGAUUCUCGAUGUCGUCAUUGCUGAUUCUGGUGAGAUUCCAGAGGGCGAGGAUGAUGGAGUAAUAAACUUCUUCAAGGACGGGGAUGAAUAUCCGGAUUGGCCGGUUGACCUUAACGACAGCUCUGAGGAGCUUACUUGGUGGAUGGAGGCUGUGGAUUCUAUCAAGGCUUUUGGGAAUGAUCAGUUCAAGGUGAAAUAACUUGUUUCUUUUGUUUGUAACUGCUUUCGAGUACUUAUAUGUCUCUGAUGAUUUUGUAAGUUGUAUGACAGAAACAAGACUAUAAGAUGGCCAUUAGGAAGUAUCGGAAAGCUUUGAGGUAUCUGGAUAUCUGUUGGGAGAAAGAAGGGAUUGAUGAAGGUAAGGACUUGCUUAGUUCCUGAUCAUGGUGCUUUUAUUAUGUUUUGAAUCUUUUCUAGUUCUACUUGGAAAUUAGUAUCUGAAAGUAUAACAACUUUGCAGAGAAGAGUUCAGCGCUGAGGAGGACAAAGUCUCAGAUAUUCACUAAUAGCUCUGUGAGUGCUUACUUUUGCUUCUGAUUACAUCGUUAUGAUUUCUGGUGGAAGGAACUCUAUAGCAUGCCUAAAUACCGCUGUGAAAUGAUUCAUUCCAUGGUUGAUGCAGGCUUGUAAGCUCAAAAUGGGGGAUGCUAAAGGAGCAUUGAUGGACACAGACUUUGCAAUUCGUGAAGCAGAUAACAAUGUCAAAGCUUUAUUUCGCCAGGGACAGGUUGGUGGUCUUAUCCAUGAGUGACCAUGACAGUUUGCAGUUCAUAGUUUUGUGUAAUUUUUGUCAUCAUAAUGGGCAUUCUUUCUCUUGUAGGCAUACAUGGCGCUCAAUGACAUCGAUUCUGCAGUUGAAAGCUUCAAGAAGGCAUCGCUGUUGGAGCCAAAUGAUGGUUAGUGAUCAUACUCUUCUUUUAUUUCGAAGUAUGUCCAUAGUCAGUCACUUGGAUAACUAGCUUACUAGGUGAUCAUUGGUUUUCAGCUGGAAUACGAAAGGAGUUGCUUGCUGCUAAGAAAAAGGUAUUAAUGCAUGCAACACAAUGGAAUCCUCUCUCGUAAUGAUUAUUAGUCGCAUUACUUAAAACGACUAAUGAUCUUGAAUUCUUGACGCAGAUAAAUGCCAGACAUGAGCAGGAGAAAAACCAGUACAAGAAGAUGUUCCAAUAGGCUGAGAUACUCGAGCUAACUGUUGUCCGAGACACCCUUUCAAUUAGAAAUCUGAUGGCUUAGUACUAAUCCAUGAAUGUUUGGCGAGGUAUUUUCAAGUGUCCAUCCUAAUCUGUUACAGUUGCUUUGAUCUGCAUUGUUCACUGUUGCUGAUUUUCGUUUGGAAAAUGCAGAUGUUUUUGAUUGAUCAAAGAGUGGAGCUCGAUGGCUUUUCGACAGCGCUGAAUAUAUUCGGGGGAAGGCUCGAAAGUUGAACCUGUCCUACAGUUUGAGUUUGCAAUAGUUGUAGAACUUCUGAUGUUAACUUUUUUGCUAACGAGCCGCGGUGACUCGACUGAACUUAGACUUUUUAGGGAGUUUGAAACACGCAAUUUUCGGAAGUGAAUAACUGACCGUAAGCUUGCAAACCAUUGCGCUCUUAAAAAAUUGGCGAAAGGCAAAGUUGCCCUUGUUGCAAUCCAACCAACACAUAGGAUUCCUACAAUUGAAUCAUCAUGUAUGAUUAUUUAACAAAUCCAGUCAAAUUCAGUUCAUUGUGAGAAUUCAAUUCGGAUGCUUUACCGAAUUUACAGCCAUAAUCGCAAGUUUUUGUCUAUUCGAGUUACCGAACGAAUUUAACAUGGUUCGACUCUGGCCAACCGAAUUCCAUCCCAAAAUGCACGAAGAAACACAUAAACCAUCGUACUAGCUAGUGUACAACUAAAUCGAAACGACUUAUCAGCUACUAACCACAAGUUCAUAAUGAAGGAAUUUGGCUGAAAAUUCUUGAUUUCAGAACCUGUCCCAAAACACUAAAUGAAAAUGCUAAGCACGGUUUUUAUCCAAAUUAGUAAAAAACCCGAAACGAAAUCGAAAAGCUGUAAACUGAUACAAAUACUAAACGGCAGCUUAUAUGUCAAAAUUGCCAGUUCAUACGCUGCCGCCAUUUCAGAACUCCAACUUCCUUCUGCUGUAUUAAGAGUCUACAUUCUCCACCCGACGGCUCUUUUUCUUGGACUGUUUGGUUGAACCAUUAUCUCUAGAUUUCUUCUUUUCGGUCUUGGUGCUUCCUUUGGAAGACUUCUUCCUCUUCAGAGGCUUAUCCAGAGCUUCCUCCUCAUCAUCGGGGGGAGUAUCAUCAGUAAUAACCUCUGUUCGGACAUGAAAAGGGUAGUUGAGCAUCCCAGAAUACCAGAAACACAGUAUCCAAAGAGAAAGGAGAUGAGUACUAACGUUUGUCGAGGAAUUUGGAAUCGAAGACGACACAAGUGAGAUGCUGCUUCAGGAAAGUCUGCACCAUACAACGGAUGGCAUUCGUCAGUACAUGAGACUAAUUAGUAUUGUUAAAUACUUAAAUUGACAGAUUAAGUACGGGUACAUACAGCUGAAAGAAGCUGUCUUGUCUUCACAUCCCACAAACGUAAGUAGCUGUCGAGACCUGAAAAUUGCAAAGCAGUUAGGAGACGGGAACUUGAGCAUUUGGAGAGAUUGUGGAAGUUAGUGUCGCAUAAUAGAGGCUUAGCGCUCACCGCAUGAUGCUAUCACCGGGUGAUCUGGAUGUCUGGCCAUGGAUCUUAUGCUUCCGGAACACUUGCCCAAAAAGCAUCCUAAUAGUUUUCCUGGAAGUAAAAAUAGUUUCACAGGUGAGGGAUCGUUGAAAAUAACGAAUAGGAACAAAGGAAAUCAAUCGAAAUUCGAAACCGCAUAGAUGUAUCAGCAGAGAUACAUCAAGCGAGACUACAUAGAAGUACCUGUGCGUGUGUCAAACGAGGCAAGGUCACCAGACCCAUUUCCCACAUAAAUAGUGUAACCAUCAUGAUCUUCUGCUACUGAUUUAAUGGGAGUUUCCCGGAAAUCGAAAGAUAUCACUGGUCUCCGUUGAGCAGAAACGUCAUACACACGAACCUGUUAUGCAAACGACCAACUUAGACAUGUAUAUUACAAAGAAAGAAUGAACAUCAGAUGUAUCCACAACAGCGUUGGUCCAUCAACGAAUCUGAAUCUCAUUAAUUAUUCCUGAAAAAUCAUAACAUCCUGGAGAGGAAAGUUCACCUGAUGGCUGUUGGUGCCAGCAACAAACUUCCGGUGGUCGUCCCCAUCGAGGAAUGUCGCAGAUGUAAACCAUGUUGGGGUGAAAAUAUCAAGGCUGUUUUUAGGAGGCUAUAAAGGAUGGAAUUAUUGAAGUGUGUAAGACUCGCAGACUUGAAUGAACAGACAUGUGAAAUUUUGAAUAACAUGCGGUUAGAAACAAUUGAAUGCAUAUGACUCACAGGUUUUGCACCCCAAAUCUUAGUAGUGCUCUCUAGAUCCCACAAAUUGACUUCAACACCCUUCCUGAAUUAGAGGCAAGCUUUAGUUUCCUGAAGAUUCAUUGAAAAAAAAAACAAGCCAAAACUCCAUGGCCACACGAUAUGAGUUCACUUACCCUCCAAACAGUGCAUGCUUCUCACUUGCAUGAACUUUAGAACACAAGAUUGUACCAGCAGCGGAAACUUUCCACGAAUUAGAGGUACCAGUGCUGUUGUUUUCUGCAGAUGUAGUGUCAACUGAUCUUAAACUCGCACUCCCUUUGGUCGAACAUGUAAGCAAUGAGCAUGAUCUAUACAAAGACAUAAUUAAACAAAAUCAGACACUAAGAGCAAUAAACAACAAAACAGCACUAGUAAUCAUCAAACCCAACAUUACCCCGAUGAUCUGUUACUCUUGAAUAAAUGCAAGCCAGCAAUAUCAUCAUCGUCAUCUUCAGGUUGAGCACCAGCAUCACGGGAUAGCGAGACACGAAUGUCACCAUUUAGAGGAUUCAAAAGCUCAAUCUGUUCAGUACAUAAAGCUCAUAUAAAUAUACAACCAAGGAAAUAUUUCAAAACCACAAUCAUAAACAAGAAAAAAAAUCCUACUCACCGUCUUAUUUUUCCUUGAAACCGCUAAUAACUGCAGAAAGCAGCAAACAAUUACAUAGUAAAAAAUCUGUACUAAAUUCUUAAACUAAAAACCCAAACAGAGAGACUCAUUUCCACAAACGUACAGGAUCGUUCUCAGUAUCGUCAAUGGAUGCAGCAAGCACGUAUUUGGAGGACUCGGCGUCCCCCCAUCUUUCCACCACUUGAGGAAUCACGCUACUACCUCGAGACUCAACCACUAGACAGUAAACCCGCAAAUCAGCAUUUUUUUUUAAAUAACAACUUCCUGAUCGAAAUUAGGGCGGCGGUUGAUACGAACCUUUGAUGAGACCUAGUGAGUCGAAGGUUAGGGCUCGAAGCGGAGGGCACCCCGGACACUCCACAGUGGUCGUUCGCGGCAUCCUUUGCUUGUCGUCAAUAAAGUUCAGAAGAGACCAAGUAAGUGUGUUGUCGACGGAUAAGAAGUUUCUUUAUCCGAGAUAUCGCCGGAGAACGAGGCGGAUGGACGUAAAGGAGCCGCCGAGCAGCAGCAGCUUCUGGGUUUGUGCGGGAAGCUGAAAACCUAAAGACACUCUCUUCAUCUAUUUUUAUACUGUCCUUAAUAUUAACCGGUAAAUCCGAACGUGAUUUCUUUUGAAGUUUUUUUGCUAGCAAAUGAACCGGUAAAUAUGGUCUCAUCCGAACCGGAUUAUUCAGGGUUUGACCACUAUUGGCUUGAGUAGAUUGAUUUGCGAAUGAUUCAUGGUUUAGCCAACCUUUAAACCGGUUGCAAUAUUAGCCACCCAUUGGUCUAAAUGUCUAAUCAGGUUUCAGCUAGAGAGUCAAUUAGGUGAUCAAGACCGGUUUGCCAGCCGGUUCUUAGUUUCGCUUUAAGCAUAUCAGCAUGUAAACCGCCAUUGAUUCUACCAGGUUUCUGCUUGCGAUUUCAUCAAAGAUCCAUGCCGCAGUUCUUAGUUUCGCUUUUAGCAUAUUAACAUGUAAACCGGCAUCGAUUCCAUCAGGUUUCUGCUUGUGAGUUAUCGAAGAUCCAUACUGGUUCGGCGAGAGAUUAUACAUUAAGCCUUUUAGUGUAUCGAGAUGUAAACCACCACUGGUCUAGUGAGGUUUCUGCUAGCGAGUUAAUAGGCGAUACCGGCUGGUUACCCUGCGAUUGCUGGUUUUUCCAUCCGAAUGUUGAGUUUGAUCCAGGUCUAAGCGCACCAGAUCCAAGUAUAAAAACUAUUGCAGUGAAAAAAGGACGGUAACUAUUCAUCUUCGGACUCAAUUUCUCGAAAGAGACGAUUAUCAAGUUAGGGGAGUAUAAUGAUCCGGUCGAACUGGAUCCAAGUAGUAUCUACUCAACACAGUAGCAUCAAAACGUUAUCUUGGGAUUCAAGUUCUCCAAAGAGACCGAUUUCAAUUCAGGGAUGGCGCAAUGCAGGAUUUGAAAAAUCCAGCUGCACCGUACCACCAAUGUAAUCGACCAGUCGAAAUGGAUACCCAGUAGCAGCCAUUGGCAUUAAGCACACGAGCAUCAUAGAGAGUAUGCAUCCUCUAACUGUUUUCCAAAUACAAAUUGUGCUCUUUAAUGUAGCUGAUCACAGAAUCUGCUGUUAAAUACUUAAUAGAUAAUCCUCUCAAUCUGCAAUCCCUGGAAUUUGCGGGGAAUAAACUGAAUUAAAGAGGGGCCCUUUGAUCCAAGAAUUUCACUUAACGUUGUUCAUCAAGAAAAUUACCUCAGUUUUGAGGAACUUAUCAUGUUUAGUAUAGGUUCAUCAACAGAUUUGAUGUUCUCCUGCAACACAAUCACAAAGCAGUUCAUGUAAGACAAUUGGGAAACAUAACAAGGAUUUCUAGCCCUUGUCCGAAAAGAUGACGAAUGGAGCUCUUUUGUUAUACUCUAAUCAAAUGUAAGCCCUCCUACGAUCGACAUGCUAACGGACAUGCCAUUUUGUCAAGUUUGUUCACUCAAUUAAUGCUCGAGGUUGGUUAUUAGUUCAUUGAGAGUUAAUCGAGUGAAAAAUUGUGGAGUAAGCAAUGUUGAGUCAGCAUAUAUCAAAGAGUUUGGAGAAAGAAAGUCGUCCAUUUGCUAGUAGAUCGAUCAUAGGAAGACUUUAGUCGCUAACCUUGUUUUGAUUCAAGAUCUCAUCAGCAGCUAUGAUCUGCUGGACAUCGUGGCCUUCCCUUCUAAUGCAAGCUAUACCAAAGUCUCUGCAUAUGGUCCUUACCUAUAAACAUAUUAGACCAUUGUUUUAUCGUUCUACUGAUAAAGGAGACAUCAAUCGCAAUAGAUUGUAGUUAAAACUUAAGCCAAUGCCACAUGGAGUAAAGACACUACCUGAUCAGGAAUCCAGAAUCCAGGAGUGCCGAACGACUGCAGCAGAUCAGCACCACAAACAAGCAUGACCUUGAGAGAUUCUUCAAAAGAAUGCAAGGAGGGUAAAAACACAUCAGCAUUGUUCUCACACACAUCGAAAAGACUAACACAAAGCUUCUCUGCAACCCCGAGACAGAGGAAUUUAAACCCAGGAUACACCUUUGGAUAUACGAACUUGGUUGAUGAAAACACUUUCGAUUCUUUGCAAUACCGUCAAGGAGCGCUGGAAGGUGCUUUGAUUUGCCUGCAAUAGCAUGUUUCAAUCCUAUAAACUUAACAGGUAGGUAGUCCCUUUGGUCACGAAUCGGAGGUUUACCUCCCAAGGAUCAACCAUGACGAAAUCAGAGCUCUCACAUGCUAAAUUACACAUGCGCAAACGAUGCGCAGCAGAAAUGAGACCCUGAACAAUCAAAAGAGUGGAAUCAGAUGUUACAAUUGGCAUUUUAAGAUGGAAGGAACUGGGAAAAAGGAGAUACCGGCUUCUUAUAGGCAUCGGUAACUGGCGACAUAUACCCAGCAAUCACCCGAUAUCCCUCCGAUUGUAAUGCAUCUCUUGCCAGCUCUACAAUCGCACAUUUGAGAACCAAAAUCGAAUACAGGGCAUUUUUCUAUUGAUGCAGAAAAAACUUACCAAACAUCCGCAAGUGCAUGAACGUAGGCGGAUUGAAGCUACCAGUGGCCACUAAAACUACAUACACCUUGCCUUCGUCCCUACAGAGAGAUCUGGAAGAUUAGAACAAUCUAAAAGGAAGGAAUUCACGAGAUGACGGAAGUUAGAAGAAUACUUGGUGGGAGCAGAGACUUUGUCCAUCGGCAGUGGAUAAUCCAUAGCGGACAAUUGCACAGAACGGUAAUCCGAUUGAUCUACUACGUGCAAGCUCCACUGGACAUCUAAUUACCUCAGCUGGCUGUCAAUGAAUCUCAAGUAGCUUUGAAUCGGCUAUCAGCUGUGAAAUAACCCCAAGCCAAGACUCAGUGAUCAGACAUGGGAUGGCGAUCAAACUCGGUAGCCUCAAUCCUGUUAGGCCAAAUGAAACAGAAUGAUUGAACUGAAUGAUUGAGGAGGGAGUUGAAUUGUGGGUCGAGGUAAUCGGAGAUGGUGACCGGAGAAUAAGAGGAAGAGAGAGAGAGACGUUGUUAGUUUGUUACUGUUGAUGACUGAUGGUGUGGAGAUGGAGUUGAUUAUGAUUUGUGGGGUGGGUUGCGUUUGGUUUUUUAGGGUUAGAAUCUGAUAGGACUCAACCCAGUCAGGAGACCGAACCCAAAUCUCUUGGGUUCAACCGACUAACCUGAAACAGAGUUUUUUUUUUGUUUUUUUUUACAAGAGCGGAAUUGGAGGAGUCUUAUAGGCCUCCAAAUCGCAUAGGACUUGGGAUGUAGAAGUAUAAACUUGUAAAUGGAUUUUAUUUGUGUUAUCUCCUAUAUUCAGGAUCGAAUUCAAGAAGAUUAUCGUUAUUUUAAUUACAUUUACUAAAUUCAGGAAUUUUUGAAAUGUGAUUGGACGGUCUGCGUGACCCACACCUAUCGAAAAGACAACUAUAUUGCAGAUCUGUUAGCUCAUCUUGUCAUUUUGGAUACUCGCUAUCACAUCAUUUCUUUACUUACGAGAUUUUUAAUCAUAUUCAAACAAACAUAAUUAAGGUAGUUUUUUCUCAUUUUAUUAAUGAUUAAUUGACAAAUCACUGUCUGAAUUUCUAAAAAAAAUAUAAUGUGGAAUCGAGCAAAAAUCUCCUCGAAUCCAAAUGCCCACAGCGAAAUCAGCACCGGAUCGAUACCGUGAAAGAGUUGAAAUUGAGCUUCGUAACGGGUCAGGAGCACAUCUUGAAUUGAGCCCAAAUUUACCACAGUAUUGGGCUUUCGGCCCAGUUUUUGAUUGAUAAAAUCCUUUUGGUGGGCUGUAGCGUAGGUAUGGAGCAAAUUUGCAACAGCAGCUGCUUCUGAACUCUGCAAUGGCGAGGCGGGUGCUGCCUCCGCGUCUUCUUCUCAGUUCCAUCUUCUCUACUUCCGUCAAGGUGUCACCUCUGACCUUCUCGUCGUGUUUCUCCACACUCUUCCCAGAACACAAAGCUCCACCGGAUAUCAGUAAUGACCAGGAACGCCAUGAGCAAGUUACAAAGCUUAUGGCUCUCCUUCAGGAAGGCAGCAGCGAGAAAGCUCACUACUUUACGAAAUCAAUGCUUCUUUCCAAGUCCCCAUUCUCGUCGCCUUCCGAUCUUCUCUCCUUCUCCACCACUUGUUCUCCUUCCUUGAGCCCCGCACUCUCCAGCAUGUUACUCGUCAUAAGCUGCGAGUCCAAAAUGCAAGGUAUGGAGUCAAGGAACAUGGCUGGGAAUCUCUCUGCGUUUUUUACGGCUAGAGAGUGUCUCGGAACGUUAGUGGAGUCCAAGCAGUUCAAAAAAGUGCUUGAAUUGUUUGUGGAGACUGUGGAGUUAGGUUUCAGACCUGAUACGUUCAUGUGUGGGAAAGCUGUGCAGGCAGCGGUGAAGUUGGGGGAUUUGAAGAGGGCAACUGAGAUUCUUGAAUCGAUGAAAAGCUGUGGAGUGCGUCCUAAUGUGUUUGUUUACAAUGUUAUGAUCGGCGGGCUGUGCAAGGAGAAGAGAAUCAGGGACGCAGAGAAGGUGUUCGAUGAAAUGCGUGAGAGAGGGCUAGCUGCUAAUAAAGUAACCUACAAUACGUUGAUUGAUGGGUAUUGUAAGGCGGGAGAGGUCGAGAAAGCGUUUGGUUUGAGAGAUAGGAUGCGUAACGAGAACGUUGAACCUAGCGUUGUUACAUUCAACACGCUUCUUAGUGCUCUGUGUAAGGCCAAGCGAAUGGGAGAUGCCAAAAUGUUGCUGCAGGAGAUGGAAGCCAAUGGCUUUGCCCCCGAUGGGUUUACUUACUCCAUAUAUUUUGAUGGUCUGUCAAAGAGUGGCGACGGAGCAAGUGCAUUGGAGUUGUACGAGACGGCCGUUUCGAAAGGAAUGAGGAUGAAUACUUAUACAGGUAGUAUCUUGUUGAAUGGGCUGUGCAAAGAAGGUAAAGUGGGGAAGGCUGACGAGGUUUUGAAGAAGUUUAUGGAGAAUGGAUUUGCUCCUGAUGAAGUGGUGUAUAACAUUCUUGUUAACGGGUACUGUCUGGUGGAUGACAUGGAUAGAGCGAUUCUGACCUUGGAGAGCAUGGAAAGAAAUGGUUUGAAGCCAAAUAGCAUCACUUACAACUGUUUGAUCCAUAAAUUUUGUGAAAUGCAGAAGAUGGAAACUGCGGAGGAAUGGAUAGAGAAGAUGGUAAUGAAGGGAGUUGCACCAACUGCGGAGACUUACAAUACCCUUAUCGAUGGGUACGGACAAGCUUGCAUCUUUGACAGGUGCUUUCAACUUCUUGAAGAAAUGGAAGACAAGGGUGUAAAGCCGAAUGUGGUAACGUAUGGCUCGUUGAUAAAUCGUUUAAGCAAAAACGGGAAGAUUAUUGAAGCCGAGAUAGUCCUUAGAGAUAUGUUUGGGAGAGGCGUCUUGCCCAACACACAGAUAUAUAACAUGCUCAUUGAUGGCAGCUGUUUAGCAGGGAAGUUGCAAGAUGCUUUGAGAUUCUUUGAUGAGAUGUUGAGAAGUGAUAUUGUCCCUUCUCUUGUGACCUACAAUGCAUUGAUGAACGGUCUCUGCAAACAAGGGAAGUUAACCGAAGCAGAAGACUUGCUUCAAGAGAUCGCAAACCACAGACUUAGUCCGGAUGUUAUAACAUACAACUGCUUGAUCUCUGGGUAUGCAAGUGCUGGCAAGAGGCAGAAAUGUCUGGAGGUGUAUGAAACCAUGAAGAAGACCGGCAUCAAACCUAAUGUAAGUACAUUCCAUCCCUUGAUCGGUGAAUGUGGCAAGGCAGGCCUGGAGAUUAUGGAGAAACUGUUUAACGAGAUGCUGCAACAGAACUUGGUUCCGGACAGAGUCAUUUACAAUGCCAUGAUCUUUUCCUUUGUGGAGUCUGGACUUAAGGAAAGAGCCGUUGGUUUACGCGACGAGAUGCUAGCUAACGACAUUCUCCCGGAUAAUAUGACCUAUAACAGUCUGAUUCUUGGACGGGUUAGAGAAGGGAAGUUCUCAGAAGUGAAUGAUCUUGUUGCUGAUAUGAAGGCCAGAGGAUUAGCUCCGGAAUCAGACACUUACAGUAUACUGAUUAAGGGAUACUGUGACCAGAAAGAUUUUGGUGGAGCGUACGCUUGGUACAGGGAAAUGCUCGAGAAUGGUAUGUCACCAAACAUUGGGAGUUGUAAUGAGCUAAUCUCUGGUCUUAGAGAGGAAGGGAAAGAGGUAGAAGCCCAGAUGAUUUUGGCAGAGUUGAACAGUAAAGGCGUGGACGAUUCAAGCCCUGCCUAGGAGCCAUCUGCAACAUGAAAACUGUGCUGAAAAUUCCAGUUUGGGACGUGAUAUUGGCAUAUUGCUCAUAGUAAGUUAUUAAGUUUUUAUUCAGGUGUAGUCAUCAGAUUUAUGUGUACAUAUGUGAUAUAUGUGACAUUUGCCCUAUAUGAUUCUUCAUCUGUGAUAUGGUUUAGAGAGGCAGAGAGUAGUGCAGAAUAAUUUGCAGGACAUGUGAAAUGUUCUUGUCGAUUAUCUGUAUCUGUAUUAAGCUCUGUGACAUUAUGCAGUGGGAAUAAGCUAUAUGGCCUUUUUGUCUUGAUUCACUCAGUUUCACUGCAUUUUCUGUCCAAACAUUGCAUGGCCUGUUUCCUUUUGUCGUUCAACCUAUGCACACAAUUCUUAGAAGGACAAGCUUGCCCGUUUCCUUUUGUCUUUCGGAACAAGCUUGUCGAUUGGAUCGCAAUCUCUGACUAGAAUCUUGGUUUUUCUGAGGACCGAUUCUCUCGUAUUAAUUUCUGUGUAACGAACCUACAAAGUCUAAUUGAAUCAAAUGAAUCAAACUUUUCCAAUCAAGGUAUUGGAAAUGGUAAAUAGUUAAAUGGAGAGGAGCGUGGAACAUUGGAUUCUGUCUUGUCUGUGGUUUUCUUUAUUUUACCAUUAUAUCUCUUUUUUUCACCACUAUAUCAGAUUUUUGGGGUUAAGUGGACAAAAGAAAGAUGGCUCAGAAAACGAUAAUGAAUGGAGAAGAAGACAAGCGGUGGAGUGGAGGAUUCCUUCUGUCGUCUUCCGCCGCUUGCUUACUUAUUGCUUUUUACAUUGGAAGUCAUCUUUUUUUUACCGUGGUUGCUUACAUUGCUUUUAUAUUAUUUUUUACCUUUCUCAGUAAUUCAGUAUCACAUGUCUAUCUGACAAGAUCCACAGUUUUCCCAACUUUGAGUGAUCACUCCUUUUUCAGCCAAGGAUAAUGGAUUUGAGUGGAGGAUCAAGUAGGUUGAGCGAGUGAUUCUAAUAGGUAUGAGUGUAUGAGAGUAAGUGUGAGAGAUAGAAGUACUAAGGUGUGUUUGAAGAGGUGUAACUAACUGGAAGUGUAUAAUGUAGGCAUGUGUAUAGUCUUUAAGCGGAUAAUUGGAAUGGAUGAUGUGUUAUAAAUAUAGUGAUUAAUUUGUUUUAAAUUGAUCUAUCAUGAUAUGAGUAUGUACUCGACGAGUCGUGUGAUAAGUUGAGAAUAAAGGGUUAAAAUGUGCUUAAACUCGAGACUCUAAAAGGCGGGCAGAAAGACCGAGCUAAUGAAUAUAUACCAAACAUGUAUGGACUACAUUAUUAGCCUAUCACGUUUGGUAAGGUACGUGUCCUUCCUAUAUGGCAUUGAUGUAAAUAAACCUUUUGUUUUCUUGUUGAAAUAUGAAAUGAAACAUGAAACCUUUAACUUAAUGCAUGUUUUCUAAUUUCUAUACAAAAAAUAACAAAGGGUUAAAUGGAUUGUUCCUAACAAAUUUUAUUUUCACUCAAUAUCACAUACCAAAAAACCCUUCAUUUAAUAUCAAUAUACCCUUUGUCAGACAGAAUGGUUACAUUCAUCAUUACCAAACUAAUCCUAAUUUCUUUCCUGAUUGUUUUACCGUUUUGCUACCGUGUACCUAGAUUAUAACAUUCAUUAAUAAAUUAUUUACACAAUAGAUGAUCUAACAUCUAAUCAAUGCCUGCAAUCAAUUGUGUCACAAAGUAUUCUACUUUAACUAAACGUUAACCUAAGUACCUAACACAAAAUCCAAAACCAUGACUAUCCCAAUGCUACAUUUUGAACCAAGCAAUAAAAUCAGGUAACUUUAAAGAAUAAUAAAAUGAGAGGACGAGAUAAUCUCGUCACUGAUUACUUAAUCAUAAUUUGAAAGGGAUUAAAUCCGUCUAUGUUAUCGAUUCAUGCACACGAUACUAGUCUAUUCACCGGCUCAAAUAACAAAACAACAAAGAUAGAGUAAGGAUAGCAACGGGUAGGUAUUACGGGUUUGGUAUAUCCAUCACCCGCCCGUCUAAUCGCCUGGUUUUAUUCGUACCUAUCGGUUUAAUUUGUACAAACAAAUAUAAUAUAUAAAAAUCGGGUUUGAUGAUAUCCGAUGUGUAACACACCCGACAAUUACCCACGACUUAAAACAACUUUCGUAUAACUAUUGAUACAUAUAGCUACACGAAAGUCGUUUUAAACCAUGAGCACCCAUCGAAUGUGUUACGAAAAAAUAUCGAAUUUGCCCACACUCGUCAAUUACUCGCGAUUCACCGGAUUUUAAUCGCACAAAAUGGAUAGAUUUCAAAUGGAUAUCCCAUUUUCAUAUUAUCAUUACCAUCCUUAAAUAGAGUGAUAUCUAUUCAUUCCUAGCUACCACCAACAAAUAAGGCAAAAUCAUUCAUUUAUUUACCUCUCUUCCUCAUUAGCAAAUCGUGCAGCUCUCUGUAUCACUGAACCACUGUGGACCACAAAAACCUCUAACAAAGCAAUACACCUACCGACGCUACCGUUAACUAGGGUUUUCACAGUAAAAACGGAAUUAGGCAUGGGAAUCAAUCGGCUAGAUUAAAAACCAAUCAAAUUCGGUCAGUUAAAAAAAAACCAGCCGAAGGGCGGUAAUCGCCUUGACCGCCGACCUCCUCCCCACGGUUAAUUAACCGAUUGUUAACCGACCGUCACGAUUAAUUAACCGAUAAUUAACCGAUAAUUAACCAACCGAUUAAUUUAACCAACACUUUAAUGUCAAAAUUGUGAGUUUUUAUUGAAUUUGAUAUAAUUUCAUCUAGGUUUGAGGAUAAUUUCAUUUUUUCGGUUAAGCAUAAUUAACCUACUUUUAACCGAUUAACCGAUUUUACCAAUACAUCGACCGUUUCAUUGACCGACCUAAUUUCGAUUAAGCCGAUUUUUCACAAAAUCGAUUGGUUAACCAAUUUUAACCGAUUAACCAAAACCAAAUUCAUCUCAGCCCUAAACGGAUUCAACAAAUAACCAAAAACUAGAAGGAAGAAAAUAUGCCAAAUAUAAAUGAACCAAAGUAUAACGUAAUUAAACCCUAACUUUGGGAUAUAUUUACAGCCAAUACACAUGCCAGAUGUCCAGCUCUUUCGCCACGUAAGCUCAACAUUUACUCACGUUAACGUAAAGAUCGAUUAUUUUUUAACCCUUCAUCUUAAUGUUAGUGGUUAUGAGUUACGAUGAUAAUAUCUUAUCCGAUUUCUUGUAAUAUAUAAAAAACAUUCACCACAUUUUAAAAUAAAUGCGGUUAUUUUCAAUCUCGCUAAUUUAAUAUAUUUUAUUAUAAUAAAACAAUAAAUUUUUUCCGUUGACUUAAGAUACGCUUCCUCGCGUAUCUUAAACCGUAACUUCUCCCCGCAUGCGGGGAGGGAAACAACGUUAGAUAUAAAAACCUCCAGCCCCUCGUGGUUGGUACCAAAAUUUAGCUAACUAACUAAUUUCUCCCUCCCUCUCUCUCUCUAGGAAGUCUUUCUUCUCCAGCUAUGUACUGAUCACUCGUCACUGCAACAGAUCUCCAGCAUUGACUCAAUCCUUCAGGUAUUAUUCAUCAGAAUUUCCCCUUAUUUUAAUGUCUAGCUUAUUGGCAAAUUAUUGUAUGUAUAUUCAAUUUUCUGUUUUUUUUUAUCGGCUAGCAACGGAAAAAGGAGAAUAUAUUGGCUUUUUGUGUGGGAGAUAGAUAAGACUCACAAAGAAUCUUGAUUUCAGUUUUUUUCUACAUUCAAUCGGAAGAAUUGUUCCUCUUCUAUAGCGAAAAUAAACGAUUCUCGCAUGUUGUUAGGUUUAUCAGUCUUGCUAGCCUUAUGAUUCUCUAACUUUUUAUGUUUUUUAUGUUUUCACAGAUCUAGCUACCAGUUGUCGUACAGGGAAUUGGGAGGUGGGGGGUUUAUCAAGCUGUGUCUAAAUCCUAAUUUAUUCCCCUACUGAAUUUCUACUCUAUUUGUUCUUCAAUGUUUGAGUUUGAUUUGUAUAGAAUUCUUCCUGCAGUACGAAAACAAUGAUUUAGAAGGGACUUACAGGAGUUGGUUUCUUCUUAGUUACUGAGGGAUGGAAAGGGGAGGAAGAAACGAUGCUGUGGCGUCGGCGCCCCAGCCGGCGGUGAUCUACACGGAUAGGCUGGGGAAUCCAUUGUUGCAGCAGCAGCAUCAGCAACCUACCAACUGGCCUCCUCCUGCACCAGCUAAUUUUUCGUCAGGGUUUAUGCAUGCUGCUGCUCCUACUGCUGAUAUGGAGAGAUGGAAGGAUGUUCCUUUUCAGUGUCUCCUGGCUCUAACAGAAACAGCAUCAUCAAUACCCACUGUUCCUCCAUGGGGAGGAAUAGACUUAAACUUUGAUUAUGGAUACCAAGAUCCUGGUGAGUAGACUUGUUUAUAUUUUUUGCUCUGAUUAACUUCAAGUGAUUCUUCUGGUUUUGAUGUGUGUAAUAAUGAGAGAGUUUGCUUCUUACAGUUCCUCAGCAUUAUGGCUACAACUUACCUCAAGGAAGCAUGGCCGAGUCGUCCUUGAGUCUUGGAUUUGCUCCAGUUACGCCGCAGAAGGAAAUGGUGCAGAGUCAUUAUAUUAAUGGAAGCCUUGAGCUUGCUCCUAUACUCACAACUGAGGAGGAGGUAAGAGUUGAGGGCGUACAAGAUUUGCUUUGUCAAGAAACACUUAUUAACAGAGCUGAUGCUGUCAUUACUCCGGAUGAAAAUGAUGGAAGGAACUUGGAAUCUACAUUAGCAGCUAGCUUGACAUGGGCUAAUCACAACCGCGAGAAGGUGGAUUUCAGUUUAAUCGACUUGAACAAGCUUCCGCCACUGCCAACACCGAAGCGCAAGGCUAAGAGGAAGAAGCACGUACCUAAGGUUCUCGUGCUCGUGGAUGGAAAACCAAAGAAGAGGAAACAGCCGGAGACAACGCCAAAGCCGUCCAAGAAGAACAGCGAGAAGCAAGGUGCACCUACUGUAGUGAACGGAACCACCGCUCCAUUUGAGAUGCAUGAUGGAGUUGCUUUUAAAGAAGGAACUCCGAGGAAUAUAAAGUACUCACGGAGAGGUGUUCAUAAAACCGUCACAGGCAUUGAUUCAGCAGGAAUUCAGGAGGCCAAUAAUACACCGCCACCUGAAGAAGCAACUGGAGAGUCUGCAGAUCCACAACAAGGUCCUCCACCUGCAAAAAGAUCAUGUAGAAGAGAGUUAAGCUUUGACUUAGAAGAACCAGCAGCUCAAAACUAUACACCCGGCUGUCUAUCUCCCAAACGCGUGACGCGCAGCCAAUCAGCAUCCAUCGAAGUGAAGAUGCAGAAAACAUCGGCAGGAGCUCCGUACGACUUCAACAGUUCUGUUAAUGAAAUGCUUAGAAGUUAUUCUUCCAUGACAGGAGAAGCAAGUGGAUCAGUGGACAAGCAUUCCAGUCUUGCUGAAUCAGCCACUGGAUUCUGUACUGGUUUGUCUUCAUACCCGACAUUACCUUGGGCGCUAAUUCCGGUGUGCCGGAAGAAGAGGACCAAAAAACGCCAAAACUCAUCGGUCUCAGGUGCACCAGUUCAUUCAGCUUCCAAAAAGGUCAUAACAAGUAUUGCCACACCAGUUUUUCCGGCUUCUGAAAAGGCAAUCUCCAAUACUGCAACAGCAAGCAUCAACUACUUGACUUAUGCUCAUUGUGCUGGAAAUGGACUUCCGGUAAGUCCCAACGGAUCUAGCCUUCGGUACAAACUGCACAACUUCAGUCCCUUAUAUGAUACUGAAAUGUUGGCAACUAAAAGAAGGUCUAGAGCUCCUGUUCGGGUUCGAGAUUUGGCUUCUCUUGUCAGUAUACCUCCUCUGACUGCUCAAACACCAACGACUUGUGGCAACCGACAUAUUCAGAGCUUAAAUAGGCUUGAUCAAGGUUUGGCUUCUCAUGCCAGUAUCCCUCCUCUUCAGACUGGAAAAAUACCAACGACUUUUGGUAACCGACAUAUUCAGAACUUAAAUAGGCUUGAUCAAGAUUUGGCUUCUCUUGCUGGUAUCCCUCUUCAGACUACUGGCCAAAUACCAACGACUUGUGGUAACCGACAUAUUCAGAACUUAAAUAGCUUUGAUAUGCGUAUGGAAGCACUAGUUGCCGAUGGUAAAGCAACCUUGGAUGCACUAGUCACAGGUGGUGGUAAAGAAACCUUGAAGACUGCGAAAAUAAGCAGAAGGGAUUCUCAAACUAUAUAUGCAUCCUCAAAGGUGAAUGAUAGAAGACCACAAGGCAUUAUGGUUCCGUUGGUUCAGAACAAAUUGCUACAUCCGGCUUCAGGUAUUGACUACCAACUAAUACCAAAAUGACAAACGAGAGCCGUUUCAUAUUUUGUUGUGCAGUUUUGCUUAUUCACAACUACUUGGUGCAGGUUCCGUGGACAUUCUAUUUAACCAAUUCUUACAUGUGGAUGUCUUGGCUGAGCAGUUAAACCACCUUAACAUUAACAGGGGAAACCCCAUCAAUGCUUGUACACAGAGGAAUCAACUUGUUCCUUACAAUGCUGGGAAACAAAAGCAGAAUGCAAUGGUUAUAUACACAGGCGAUGAUAGGAUUAUUCCAUUUCAACCACCAAAAAAGAAGCGACCAAGGGCAAAGGUCGAGUUAAAUGAGGAGACACUUAGAGUGUUUAAUCUACUAUUAAAAGACAUAGACAGCGAAGGUAUUGAUGGAACAGAUGAAGCAAAGAAAAAGUACUGGGAAGAUGAAAGGAAGAUCUUCCGAGGACGAACAGACUCCUUCAUAGCACGAAUGCAUCUAGUACAAGGUACAAACUUUAUUUUUAUAUAUUUGAUUUAGUUCAAUGGAAAAUUAUGGUAAUAUUACAUGGAAAAUUUUGCAGGAGAUAGGCGUUUCACUAGGUGGAAGGGAUCAGUUGUGGACUCAGUUGUUGGGGUAUUUCUAACUCAGAACGUCUCAGAUCAUCUUUCCAGGUAAAAAAAAGAUUUCAAGUUUAGAACAAUUAGAAAUGUUAAGGUAGAAGUAGAACCACUUACAUGUUAACUUUCUCAUUUCAGUUCUGCAUUUAUGUCAAUGGCUGCUCGUUUCCCAAUUAAGAGAGAGGAGACGCCAUGCCGGGAUGAAGGAAUGCACUGUGUAGUGGCUAAUCCAAUAGUUUCUAUGCCAGAUGAGGAGGCCGUGAACUUGGAUGAGAUGUCAAAUCAAUCAGUUUCUGACAGAAGUUCCAUAACUCUUCAUGAUCCUCAGAUUGAAGAAGCAGAAGUUGUGCAUACCAUAGAUUCCACAAGAAGCAUGAGUAGUGAUACUAACUUCAUACCUGGUGAAGAGAACUACAAUGAAUUAGUGAUCUCUUCUCAGAAUUCAACGGUUUCAUCUCAAAACUCAAAUUCACCAGUUAGUCAAACUGUUGACAGAAAAGAUUCAUCCUCAGAGACCAACUCUCAAGAAUUGGAUCCUACUGACGCAGCCCAAAUCAACAGCUUUAAUGUAGUUAAUUCGUUUCUUGAGCUCCUACAUAUGGCUCAGUCUGGAUCAAGCAUGCCGCACGAAGUUCCCAAAUUUUUGCAUCAAAGUCUGAACGAGACUGCCAAAACAUCAACCCUGGGUAUCCCGACUCGAAAAGAAUCUGUUGAACCGACGGAACUUGCAGACGAACCACUGAAACAGUUUGUUGGUAACGUAAUGCAGCAACCAGAACAAGUUGCAAACCGUUCAGAAGUGAUGUUUGAUAUUGUGGAAAGUAGCAGGGAGAAGGAAAAUGUUUCAGAGAAAACGACGGCUUCAAAUAUGAUUAACCAUCCCAAUUCUAGAGUUAAGGGUGUCAAAGACAUCGAUGCUGCUCGGAGAAAAGCGAAAAGUAGAAGGGUUGGCGAUGAAAUCAAAGAUGCUGACUGGGAGGCACUGAGAAGAAGUGCCAAACAAAGUGGGGAAAAAAAUGAGAGGGCAGAGAACGCAAAGGACUCUGUGGAUUGGGAAGCUGUAAGAUGUGCAGAUGUGAAUGAGAUUGCUGAGACAAUAAAAGCACGUGGGAUGAACAACAUGCUUGCAGCACGCAUUAAGGUACGCAGCAAAUUUAUACAUCCAAUUGGAUGAUAGUCUUAAUUCCUUGUAUGUACAUGAUCAUGUUUUUCAUUAACUGCAGGAGUUUCUUGAUAAAGUGCUAACCUAUCACGGAAGUGUUAAUCUGGAAUGGUUAAGAGAUGUUCCUCCCGAUAGAGCAAAGUAUGUAUAGAAAGUUCAAAGCAUGUCACUUCAAUACAUGAACAUGUUCCUGCACCCUUCAAUUAUUCUGUUACUGCCCCUGUUUAUGUUUAUGGGUUAUUUCGACAUUACUAAAUAAAUCAAUCUCUUUGGACUGCUACAAAGGGUAUGCAAACCUCACUAAGUUCCUAUUGAAUACAUGUAAGAACUACUUUUUUAGACAUGUAAGAAUUACUUUUUUGUAGAGAGUACCUGCUAAGCUUUAACGGGCUGGGGUUGAAAAGUGUGGAGUGCGUAAGGCUUUUGACGCUUCAUCACCUAGCAUUUCCGGUAAGUUCCAAUAAAGAAAAAGUUUAAAACUAAUAAAGUUUUGUUAUUCAAAACAACCAUGAUUUUUUUUUAAAGCAAAACAACCAUGAUUUCGUUACCAAAUAACAGGUUGAUACCAAUGUUGGACGCAUAGCUGUCCGACUUGGAUGGGUCCCACUGCAACCAUUACCUGAAUCACUACAAUUGCAUCUACUAGAAAUGUAAGUACUAUUAUAUUAGCAGCUGGGAUUUUUUGAGAAUGAGAACAAAUACAUGGUUGUGACUUACGGUGUUCUCACUGCAGGUACCCUGUACUGGACACAAUUCAAAAGUAUUUGUGGCCUCGAUUGUGCAAACUUGAUCAGAAAACACUGUAAGACAAAAUCCAAAAAGAAUUAGUUUGUAUACAUCAUGUGUGUCAAUCCGGCAUGUGCAUAUUUCGAUUAUCUUCUACUUUUAAAUGAGAAAGACUAAACGAAUCGAUAUACCAAACAACAGGUAUGAACUGCAUUAUCAGCUUAUCACGUUUGGAAAGGUGCGUGUCAUUCCCACUUGUGUCGUCGAUGUCAGUAAUCCAUUUGCUUUUUUGCUGGAAUGUAAAAUAAAACAUGAGAUCUUUCAACUUGAUGCACAGGUUUUUUGUACAAAAAGCAAGCCGAACUGUAAUGCUUGUCCAAUGAGAGGAGAAUGUAGACAUUUUGCCAGCGCAUUUGCAAGGUUUGUAAGGGCAUAUUAGUACAGUAGAAAGAUAAUGAAUAACUAGUUACGACAACACGUGAAAACAUUCCCACAAAUGUUGAAAUGGGCAUGUAGGAAUUCUCCUAUAAUCAUCCAUUCUAAAGCAUGAAAGAUUAAUCACUUACCGUGGAAAUUUUUAAAUGCAGUGCAAGACUUAGCCUCCCGGGACCAGAGGAAAAAAGAAUCGUCACUGCAACUCAAGAAAGGCCACCCUUCCCAAGGCCGGUGAUGCCAAAUGCUCAAAGAUGUCCACCUUUAUUAACCAUAUGUGAACAGCCAAAUCAGCCAACGAUAUCUCUACUACCGUCAAGUUCAUCAGCACUACCGGCAACCUCAUCAGCACCUGAACAAGAAAAACAACAGUUGACGUCAAGUUCAUCAGUGCCUGAACAAGGAAAACAACAGUCGAUGUCAAAUCCAUCAGUGCCUGAACAUGGAAAACAACAGCCUACGUCAAGUUCGUCCAUGCAUGAACAAGAAAAAUGGCAACCAACGUCAAGUUCAUCUGUACCCGGCCAAGAAAAUCAUCAUUCGGUGGUGUCGGAACAGCCAGUAGCCAAUUUAAGAGUCAGCCGUGAACCGAUUAUCGAGGAACCAUUAUCACCUGAGCCAUUCAUAUUACCUGACAUUGAAGAUUUCUUUUACGAGGAUCCUGACGAAAUCCCAGUUAUUAAGUUGAAUGUUGAAGAGCUUGCUCAGAAUAUAGAGACAUAUCUCAAGCAGCAGAACUUGGAUAUUCGUGAAAGUGACAUGUCAUUGGACUUAGUUGCGAUGGCUACUGAAGCUACGUACAUGCCUCCCCCCAAGCUUAAGAACAUUAGCCGGCUACGAACGGAGCACCAAGUGUAAGUGAUAAAAUCUUCUCCUUGAUAUAGAGUGCCCCUCUAUACUGCUAGUAUAUAUUAAUCUUCUUUUCCGUUUACAAACUCUACAGAUACGAACUUCCAGACCGUCAUCGUCUCCUAGAAAAGGUUAGUUAAUUCUGCAAAUUUCAAAACCAUCAUUUCAUUAACUUGACUACAACUAACGUUUAUUGAAUUAGUUUGACAAGCGAGAAUAUGACGACCCAUCUCCAUAUCUCCUUGCAAUAUGGACGCCAGGUAAGUGAAAUUUAGCAGUAUGUCUAAUUCAAUAACAAUAACAUACUUUAAACCAUAAAAUGAUUUCAGACUUGAUGCAUCUACUCUCACCAGGCGAAACAGCAGACUCUGUCUCACCUCCAGAAAGAAGAUGCACCUCACAGUCAGAGGGUAGAUUAUGUGAGGAGGGAACAUGUCCCUUGUGCACCAGCUACUUGGAAGCAAAGCGUCAAAUAGUCAGAGGGACUAUUCUGGUGAGGAAGUGCACUUCAUUCUUUUUAAGUAUCCUACGUUGAAAAAUAUACGUUACAGUCGAAGUCAGCAUCUGUUUCGCCAGCUUACAAACUGAUGGUCAUAUCACAUGAAAACAGAUACCCUGUCGAACAGCAAUGCGAGGAAGUUUUCCCCUCAAUGGCACGUACUUUCAAGUCAAUGAGGUAACUCACCUAAGAGAAUCUUUUUCCUGCUAUUAGGAGGAUCCUACAGCAGAAGUGACAUAGCAGGAGUGACUUACCGUUUAUUUCAGGUAUUUGCUGACCAUGAGAGCAGUCUCAAGCCAAUUGAGGUACCAAGAUCAUGGCUCUGGAAUCUACCAAGAAGAACGGUCUACUUUGGAACAUCUGUGCCGACAAUAUUUAGGGGUAAAUGAUUAUUACUAUUUUAUGAAAAAUGAGCAGUUACUAUUCAGGAUCUCUCCUUGAUUAAUAGUGCUUUCGUGUGAAAAAUGUUUCAUUAACAGGUUUAACGACAGAGGAAAUCCAACAAUGUUUCUGGAGAGGUAAGCAAGCAGCUAUAUUGCUUUUAUUUAUUUCUGUUCUUAAUGAUGCAUGAGGUUAUGAUACAACCAUUCAAAUAAAAGUAAAAAAUUGAAUAAAUCAUCCAAUUCAAACCUAUACAGGAUUUGUUUGUGUGAGGGGCUUUGAGAGAGAGACGAGAGCCCCACGUCCACUGAUGGCCAGACUGCACUUUCCAACCAGCAAGUUGAAGCCUAAAGGUAAAAAUGUAGCUGAUGAUGAGUCCUAACAAGUUUAUACAAAGACUCCUAUUUCUGCACCAAAUACUGCCUAACGUACACCAAGGUUCCGAGGAAGAAUAACUAGCAGGAUCACUUUCAGCUGACUCGGACUCAGUUCAUAAGCCAAAGGUGUAUAGAUAACAAAGUUGUAACUUGCCCCGGCCCCCAAGUUGUGCUCGUAUUUGAGCCAUUCUUCCAAGGUUGGGUAAUAAUGGCUAAAUGUUUACUUGUGCCUUCUUAAUGGAUGUCAACACUAUUGAUAUGUAGAAAACUGUUAGGAUCAGGAAGGUUUAGGAGUAGUUGUUGCGUUAGUUACUAACAUGUUCUUCUGAAAUAUAAAUCAGGAUCGGAGCUUCUGUCUGUGUUCUAAGUUAAAACGCAAAAGUUCUCAGUAUUAGAUACAUACAAGAUUGCGAGCCAAAAAUAGAAAUGAAAGCCGGAAAAGUUCAGAUUAUCCAGAACAUUACCUGUCAUUCUUGCACUCCGCGACUGCGAUCAUAUUGUGUUUCUUCACCAAAUACUGAUUGGCACGGUCGUUCACUGCCAGCCAGAUGCAGAUUCCACCAAUCUCACAUACUUGCAUAUGCUGAAUUACCUAAACGCAAUGUGAAUAUGGAAAUUACUCGAGUUAGAGAGGAGUGUGAACAGAGACUUCUAAGCUAUAUACUGACAUGAUCAACGAAAUAGAACACCGACUACAAUCGCAUAACUAAUUUAAUGCAUAAUUCAAAUUUCAGAUAGCGGUGCUUUGUACAACCUUAGGCCAACACGUGAAAGCAGGAAGAUGUAGAAAUAAGGCUAUGCGAGUUUCAGUCUACAAAUAACGUUCAAAUCAAAGCAUGUCCAUCAUGAUUCAGUGAUUCUAGCGAGAAUCGCCCGCCAUUGAUGCAAUCCUAAGAACUCUCGACAAAGGUGAAACGAAUUGACGACUACAAACAACUUCUCGAUUAAUACUGUGCAGAGGUAUACUUUGUCAACACUGACAAAACAGGUAGAAAAGAUGAGAGCGUCUGGAUAAGGAAAGAAAUCGUACCUUGCCAUCUCGUCGCCGAGCUGACGAGAGAGAGAGAGAGAGAUAGAGUGGGAGAGUGAGGGAUGGAUGGAGGGAAGUUAGAUUGAUUUCCGGUGAUUCAGCCAAUUUGCCGCCAAAGUUAAAAAGCAGAUCUCCCUUCCUCACUCCUCCCUGCUUCCCUAUUCAAGUUUAAAUUUUAAAAUUAGUGCGGUGCUGGGCUUUAGUUUGUUUUCAGAAAUCGCUUUGGGCUUUUACUGGAUCUGAAUUGCAGGAUUGCAUUUGCCAAGUGGUCAAGCCCAUCAAUUUAUUGGGAUGAUCUAAACCUGAAGCGUGAAAACACAUAAUUUGUAAGUUUAUUUUAUGUAAAAGAUUCACAUUAUUAUUGUAUUUAUUGUUCAUAAAUACAUGUAUACCUGUACAUACGAUUGCGCAUUUUUAGCAACAUGAAAUAUUCAUGUGGAAAAAAUAUUCAUCUAGUUCAUUGACAACUUAAUAAUUCAUGUAGCUUAUAACAAGAACGUAUCGUACAUAUUAAAGUAAAUCGAUAAAAGAAACAUAUAGAUACGUCGGAAUCGAGCUGUUGCAUGCCAAAUUUUGAAUACUCAUUUUGGCAUCCGUUGGCUUUAGGCCAAUUGAAGUAUAAUGUCGAUGCAUCUCUUUUUCAAGAAUGAGGGUUUACACGGAAUGGAGACGGUUGUUAGAGAUGAAGAGUUGACUAUACUGGUCGAAGAGGACAACAUAGAGUCCAAAGCAAUGAUUUGCCAAUGCAUUGGCGAAGCCAUUUUCCGUGAUGAAACUGUUGAAUGAGUUGAUUAUUAAAAUUGCUAUCGUGACUAUGAAAAUUCAACAUCUCCACGGCAAUUCGUUUUAUCACUAAUGAUUCUAUAGUUUGUGAUGGAUUAGAUUUACCGUCGCAAAAUGAUGUAUAUCGUUAUGCAACACAUUUUAAUGGUUGUGAAAAGUCGUUUACUAUUACGCAAUAAUCGAGACUAACUUGGCAACACCUUUUUCGUCAUAAAAAUUGUUGAAUGAGUUUAUUACUACAGCUGCUAACUUGACUAUGAAAAUCCAACAUCUCCCGGGUAAUCUAUGUAUCUGAUAAAAAUUAAAUAAAAAGAGGAAUAAGGAAGGAAUAACAACAGAAUAAUACCAGUGAUUUCCGUGAUUUCCGGCCUUGAGGUCAACUAGUUCACAAAAAGAAAGCGGAAUUAGAGGUUUUGGUGAAAGUGACGACUUAGUUACAAAAAAGAGACUAUAACGCUCCGUAUAUACAUAAGGGUUUCAAUUACCCAUAACCAUAAUGGUUCUAACCCGAUAUACAUUAAUAAUAUCACACUAAAAGUAUUAGUACAUAAUAGUACACGACCUUUCACAACUCUUAAGAUGUGUUGCAUAAUAAUGAUAUACACCCUUUUGUGACGAUAAAUCUAAUCCGUCGCACACUAUAUAAUCAUCAGCAACCAAUUGCACGAAUUUUUCUACAGGUAUUUUAAUAUGUUGGGACGAUUUAAUAUAGCCAACCAGCAAACAGGCUACCAAGUUGAUGAUCGAUAAAAUAUUUGUUUAUAUAUAUAUAUAUAUAUAUGUGUGUGCGCCUAGUGUCAAUUUCUUUUUCCACCCAUUUGGCUCUGCGUUUGAUUACAGCUAGCAAUAAAAAGNNNNNNNNNNNNNNNNNNNNNNNNNNNNNNNNNNNNNNNNNNNNNNNNNNNNNNNNNNNNNNNNNNNNNNNNNNNNNNNNNNNNNNNNNNNNNNNNNNNNNNNNNNNNNNNNNNNNNNNNNNNNNNNNNNNNNNNNNNNNNNNNNNNNNNNNNNNNNNNNNNNNNNNNNNNNNNNNNNNNNNNNNNNNNNNNNNNNNNNNNNNNNNNNNNNNNNNNNNNNNNNNNNNNNNNNNNNNNNNNNNNNNNNNNNNNNNNNNNNNNNNNNNNNNNNNNNNNNNNNNNNNNNNNNNNNNNNNNNNNNNNNNNNNNNNNNNNNNNNNNNNNNNNNNNNNNNNNNNNNNNNNNNNNNNNNNNNNNNNNNNNNNNNNNNNNNNNNNNNNNNNNNNNNNNNNNNNNNNNNNNNNNNNNNNNNNNNNNNNNNNNNNNNNNNNNNNNNNNNNNNNNNNNNNNNNNNNNNNNNNNNNNNNNNNNNNNNNNNNNNNNNNNNNNNNNNNNNNNNNNNNNNNNNNNNNNNNNNNNNNNNNNNNNNNNNNNNNNNNNNNNNNNNNNNNNNNNNNNNNNNNNNNNNNNNNNNNNNNNNNNNNNNNNNNNNNNNNNNNNNNNNNNNNNNNNNNNNNNNNNNNNNNNNNNNNNNNNNNNNNNNNNNNNNNNNNNNNNNNNNNNNNNNNNNNNNNNNNNNNNNNNNNNNNNNNNNNNNNNNNNNNNNNNNNNNNNNNNNNNNNNNNNNNNNNNNNNNNNNNNNNNNNNNNNNNNNNNNNNNNNNNNNNNNNNNNNNNNNNNNNNNNNNNNNNNNNNNNNNNNNNNNNNNNNNNNNNNNNNNNNNNNNNNNNNNNNNNNNNNNNNNNNNNNNNNNNNNNNNNNNNNNNNNNNNNNNNNNNNNNNNNNNNNNNNNNNNNNNNNNNNNNNNNNNNNNNNNNNNNNNNNNNNNNNNNNNNNNNNNNNNNNNNNNNNNNNNNNNNNNNNNNNNNNNNNNNNNAAUAUAAGCGUAUUAAGAUUAUAAAACUGUCAUGUAGGCUUCUUCUCAAUUCUAGUGAGUCCACAUCGUCACGUCAAAACGCUGCCGUUUGAAUCCAGUUUCAGCCAACUUUUGAAUCUUCCAAUUCUUUCUUUGGUCACACAAAUAUAUAUAUAUACACUAACUCUUAUUUAUAUAAAUUAAAUUUAUCAUUAAUUCACAACCUUUAUAUAUUUAAAAAAAAUCCAAACCGCACCACCAAUAUUAUACAGCAAAAUGUCAAACAGCUGGAGUAAUUAACGCAAUGGAGAUGGAUGGAUGACAAUUAAUUAAUUAAGGUUGCUGGCCUUUUUCAUAAUUAUAUAUGUGUGUGUUGAUUAAUUUGGAUUCAAACCUUCUCCACCAAUAAAAUUGAUAAAAGUAGUCAAGGUUAGUUCGACCAAUGCCACCAUGUACGUGUUUGUCCAAUAUAUAUAUGCAACUUGUACGUAGGAUAUAUGCUUAGUGACAGAAAGGCUGAAAGCUAAAGUCAUAAUUAGGACAUCAAACGACCCCAUCCAAUGACUUUUCUAGGCCGUGGUUUUCCGGCCGAUUAAAUUGUUCAAAUGAAAUUGUUCAACAUGAUGAAACCUUAUUUUUUAAUCAUUUUUAACAUUUAUGUCAAAUAUUAAUUAUUUUAGCCAUUCCCAACAUACACGUCAAAUAUCAGGCCAGGUAAAAAAUUUCCAUUUGACCAUAAAACUUGUCGAUUUCCAGUGGGAUUAACACCUAUGCUUCCGAUCUAUUUUCACAUGAAAAUUUCAAAAUUUUCAAAUCGACUAAUAUUUGACAUGCAUGUUGAAAAUAGAUAAAAUCAAGUGUCAUUAUGGUAACCCCCUGUAAACAAUGGCCAAACGAAGUUAAAAAUCAAAUUUACUCGGUGUUAUUUUUAGCAUGUUGAAAAAUGUUUCUUUAACUCAUUAGGCUAUUAUUUGAAGGGUUUAACAUGGUCAAACUUAAUAUUUAAUCAUUUUCAACAUCCAUGUCAAAUAUUAGCAAAUUUAAAAAAAUUCAAUUUUAACUCAAAAUUUGUCAAUUUCCAAAAGGAUUAACCUUUAAAAAUGAGCCAUUUUGAAUGAAAAUUUGAAAAUCGACUAAUAUUUGAUGUGCAUGUUGGCAACAAGGCAAACACCNNNNNNNNNNNNNNNNNNNNNNNNNNNNNNNNNNNNNNNNNNNNNNNNNNNNNNNNNNNNNNNNNNNNNNNNNNNNNNNNNNNNNNNNNNNNNNNNNNNNNNNNNNNNNNNNNNNNNNNNNNNNNNNNNNNNNNNNNNNNNNNNNNNNNNNNNNNNNNNNNNNNNNNNNNNNNNNNNNNNNNNNNNNNNNNNNNNNNNNNNNNNNNNNNNNNNNNNNNNNNNNNNNNNNNNNNNNNNNNNNNNNNNNNNNNNNNNNNNNNNNNNNNNNNNNNNNNNNNNNNNNNNNNNNNNNNNNNNNNNNNNNNNNNNNNNNNNNNNNNNNNNNNNNNNNNNNNNNNNNNNNNNNNNNNNNNNNNNNNNNNNNNNNNNNNNNNNNNNNNNNNNNNNNNNNNNNNNNNNNNNNNNNNNNNNNNNNNNNNNNNNNNNNNNNNNNNNNNNNNNNNNNNNNNNNNNNNNNNNNNNNNNNNNNNNNNNNNNNNNNNNNNNNNNNNNNNNNNNNNNNNNNNNNNNNNNNNNNNNNNNNNNNNNNNNNNNNNNNNNNNNNNNNNNNNNNNNNNNNNNNNNNNNNNNNNNNNNNNNNNNNNNNNNNNNNNNNNNNNNNNNNNNNNNNNNNNNNNNNNNNNNNNNNNNNNNNNNNNNNNNNNNNNNNNNNNNNNNNNNNNNNNNNNNNNNNNNNNNNNNNNNNNNNNNNNNNNNNNNNNNNNNNNNNNNNNNNNNNNNNNNNNNNNNNNNNNNNNNNNNNNNNNNNNNNNNNNNNNNNNNNNNNNNNNNNNNNNNNNNNNNNNNNNNNNNNNNNNNNNNNNNNNNNNNNNNNNNNNNNNNNNNNNNNNNNNNNNNNNNNNNNNNNNNNNNNNNNNNNNNNNNNNNNNNNNNNNNNNNNNNNNNNNNNNNNNNNNNNNNNNNNNNNNNNNNNNNNNNNNNNNNNNNNNNNNNNNNNNNNNNNNNNNNNNNNNNNNNNNNNNNNNNNNNNNNNNNNNNNNNNNNNNNNNNNNNNNNNNNNNNNNNNNNNNNNNNNNNNNNNNNNNNNNNNNNNNNNNNNNNNNNNNNNNNNNNNNNNNNNNNNNNNNNNNNNNNNNNNNNNNNNNNNNNNNNNNNNNNNNNNNNNNNNNNNNNNNNNNNNNNNNNNNNNNNNNNNNNNNNNNNNNNNNNNNNNNNNNNNNNNNNNNNNNNNNNNNNNNNNNNNNNNNNNNNNNNNNNNNNNNNNNNNNNNNNNNNNNNNNCUAAAAUAUGUUUGGUUAAAAUUUGUAGUCAUCAUAGCAGAAGAUUACUCAAUGUUCUUGAAGUGUCCUUAUAGAACAACAUUUUUAAGUUUUAACUAAUAUGAUAAAUCAACAUCUCAACUAAAUAUAUUUUUUGCUUAAAUCGCUUUAUUUAUUUUUUUAGAAUAUGUACAUUCAUUUUCUCAAAAUAUUAAUGUACUCAAAAUCUAUUUAUUUUUACUACAUACUCUUCCUUGGAUCAUCAGCAUGUUAUUCUUAUUGAAUAAUUAACAGAGCUCUGUAAUUGUCAUUGUGAAGUCAAUUUAUCUCAUAUUUACCGCGAAGUUAAUAAUGCUACGGACUACUUAGACAAUCCUGAUCAUUCUUUUGUUUAUGAUUUAUAUUUGUUUGAUUCAUCGGNNNNNNNNNNNNNNNNNNNNNNNNNNNNNNNNNNNNNNNNNNNNNNNNNNNNNNNNNNNNNNNNNNNNNNNNNNNNNNNNNNNNNNNNNNNNNNNNNNNNNNNNNNNNNNNNNNNNNNNNNNNNNNNNNNNNNNNNNNNNNNNNNNNNNNNNNNNNNNNNNNNNNNNNNNNNNNNNNNNNNNNNNNNNNNNNNNNNNNNNNNNNNNNNNNNNNNNNNNNNNNNNNNNNNNNNNNNNNNNNNNNNNNNNNNNNNNNNNNNNNNNNNNNNNNNNNNNNNNNNNNNNNNNNNNNNNNNNNNNNNNNNNNNNNNNNNNNNNNNNNNNNNNNNNNNNNNNNNNNNNNNNNNNNNNNNNNNNNNNNNNNNNNNNNNNNNNNNNNNNNNNNNNNNNNNNNNNNNNNNNNNNNNNNNNNNNNNNNNNNNNNNNNNNNNNNNNNNNNNNNNNNNNNNNNNNNNNNNNNNNNNNNNNNNNNNNNNNNNNNNNNNNNNNNNNNNNNNNNNNNNNNNNNNNNNNNNNNNNNNNNNNNNNNNNNNNNNNNNNNNNNNNNNNNNNNNNNNNNNNNNNNNNNNNNNNNNNNNNNNNNNNNNNNNNNNNNNNNNNNNNNNNNNNNNNNNNNNNNNNNNNNNNNNNNNNNNNNNNNNNNNNNNNNNNNNNNNNNNNNNNNNNNNNNNNNNNNNNNNNNNNNNNNNNNNNNNNNNNNNNNNNNNNNNNNNNNNNNNNNNNNNNNNNNNNNNNNNNNNNNNNNNNNNNNNNNNNNNNNNNNNNNNNNNNNNNNNNNNNCAUUGUUAGCUUAAUCAUGUUACAUUUUAUGAGAAUAUUAAUUUGCCAAUUUAUGAAAUGAGUCUAGACAAGGCUUAAAAUCUUCCUCCAAACAUUUUAAAUUAUUGUAAUAUUUGUACAACUUAUGUUGUGAUAUAAUUUGUAUAACUCGAUUACAGUGUGGGCUAAAUAAGCUAUGAUAAAGAAAAUCAUAAGCUCAAUUAUCAACUUGCAUACAUAUCAUGAGUUGCUUGAUUUAGUCAAGUUUGGUCAUAAAUUUUUUAAAAGGUUCAAGUCAAGGUUACAAAUGAGAUUAUUUACUUAUUUGAGUUAGAUUGAGCGGUUUAUCGUGUCAUCUUAAUUGGAAUUUAUUUUGUUAUAAUAGAGUAAAAAAUAUAAUCGAAUUAUAUUAUUUAAACAAAUUUAGUAAUCAAAAGAAUAUGUCAAACGAACGGGCAAAAGUUAGUAUAAUUUUCAGUGAAAACGACAAAUACAGGUCCAAAAGAUUGCACCACCAACGCCAUCGGGCUCGGCAGCCGGCAACCAAUUGAUUGAUUGACUCUUUCCCCUUUCUUUGAAAGCCCAAAUCCCUUUUCUUUGAAAGCCCAAACGGGUCGGCGGGCACCCGAAAAAGGCCAAAAAAAAAACAAACCAGAAAAUUCCGCCACAAAUAUUUCCCCGCCGAACGGGAAGUCCCCACCGGCUUCAUAUUUCCGUUUCUGUCUAAUUUCUUCCCGACAACGGAACGUUAAGAGCGAGAGAAAAGAAAAGAGUGGAGUGAUAGAGUGAGAGAGAGAAAAGAAAACUCCUCUGCGUCCAUUUCUUCAAAAAGUCCUCCAAAAUUCUAGAGAGAGAAAGAGAAGCCAAAACGCGUACCAGGUUCAGCUCACCUCAGCCUCUCUACUUCUAGCAGACGCAUCCUGUUCAAAAUGGCGGUGUUUAGGGUUUUCAGACUAGUUUGACCUGAAUAGAAACUACUCACGCAACAACGAUCUAUCUACUCUGCCUCCCCCGCACCCUCCAUGGAAAUGCCCGGCCGGAGAUCCAACUACAGUCUCCUAAGUCAGUACCCGGACGAGCAGCUGUCGGCGGGGACUCCUCCGCCUCCCUAUUACGACUCCUCCUUCUCCAGCGACUCCAAGGGUAACAGGUUGAAAUCGGACAGAGUCUUCGAUUGGGAAAGCGGCGGGGAUCAUAGGCUGAAUCAGACAACGAAUAAUAAUAACAACAACAAUAGCAACGGGAAUCGGAUUGGUGGGAAUCCGAAUUUGUACUCGUCGAUCGGGCUGCAGAGGCAGUCUAGCGGGAGUAGCCUCGGGGAGAGCUCGUUGUCAGGGGAGUAUUACGCGGCGACGCUUUCCACCGGCGGCGCGAAUGAGAUUGAGGCUUAUGGAUACAUGCAUAGAGGGAUGGAUGCGACGGCGGGGACCACGGUGGGACCUGGAUCGUCCGGGAAGAGCUGGGCGCAGCAGACGGAAGAGAGUUACCAGCUGCAGUUGGCGUUAGCAUUGAGAUUAUCGUCUGAAGCUACUUGUGCUGAUGAUCCCAAUUUUUUGGAUCCAGUGCCUGAUGAAUCUGCUUCUCGGUCUUCCAGCUCCAACUCUGCUGAGACCCUGUCUCAUCGCUUUUGGGUAUACUGAGCAUAUUGUCCUUAUUUUCUUGCUACGAACUCUGUUGCUGAGGAUUAUAGCCUGUUUGUGUGGGGCGGGGUGGUAGGUCAAAAAUGUCCAUUGAACAUUGGAGGUCGAGAUCAGCGCAUGCGCAUUUUCUUCUCUAGUUAGUUGGUAGGGCAUGAGUGGCCUAUCAUUUCAGUUGAGUAAUCAACUGCAUUAGAUUGUUGAUAACAGUUUUGUUCGAUGGGUAUGCAUUGCUGUGACAAUGAUGAUGUGAUGAUUAGGGUAAUUUAGCAAUAACUAGGAUUACAGCUUGUUAAAUGAUGAUGGAUUUGGGAACCUUGCGUAGCGUAAUAGAUCUUAUUUUGUAGAUUCUUGUUUGCUUUCUGCAAUGUUGCAAUGUUUUUCAUUAUAGCCUAUCAAAUUGUGUAGCAUAUUUGGCUGUUCAUGCAGUUCAUGUGGCUGCUUAUAGAUUACACUAAGAUAUUAGUCAAAGUCAUAAGUUUGGAUGAAGUAACAUGGAGGUCCUGGUACUCUGCAGUGUUGUUAAUGGUGAAUGUUGGUUGUCAGUAGUGAUGCUAAUAAGUUAGCAUAAAUUCCCCUUUGCUUUGAUUUUGCUAUUUAAUCUAGCUUGUUCAUCUUUGGAUAUGGUUAUGGUCGGAUAUAUUAAAAGUUCAUGCUUACUGGCAUUUGUAGUUGAACUGAUGUUAUUAACUUCACAUUCAUCAGGUGAAUGGUUGUUUAUCAUACUUUGAUAAGAUCCCAGAUGGAUUUUACCUUAUUCGCGGGAUGGACCCAUAUGUAUGGUCUGUGUGCACUGAUUUUCAAGAGAAUGGUCGUAUUCCGUCAAUUGAAACACUGAAGUCUGCUGAUUCCAGUGCUGAUACUUCAUUGGAAGUGGUUUUAAUUGAUAGACGUAGUGACCCUACCUUGAAAGAACUUCAAACCAGAGUCCAUAAUAUAUCCUGCAACUGUAUAACCACAAAGGAGGUUGUUGAUCAACUGGCUAAUCUUGUAUGUAACCGAAUGGGGUGAGUAAUAGUCGUCCCCUUUGCGUCUCUGUUAGAUUGUUUGGAUGUCACAAAUAUUUUCUAUUUUGUAGAAUUCGUUGUUAAAUCAAACUUUUAUUGCUACAAGGGGUUCAGCGACUACAGGAGAAGAUGAAUUCAUGUCCAUAUGGAUGGAGUGCAAUGACGAUCUAAAAGAUCGCUUGGGAUCAAUUGUUGUGCCUAUUGGCAGCUUAUCCGUUGGCCUCUGCAGACACCGAGCCUUGUUAUUCAAAGUACCUUAUCAUACAUCUUUCAUCUCUUGAAGCUGCUCACACAAUUUGGGUGUUCAUUCCUCACACUAGUUAUUCUGUAGGUGCUUGCUGAUGCAAUAGAUUUACCAUGUCGAAUUGCAAAAGGCUGCAAAUAUUGCAACAGAGAUGAUGCAUCCUCCUGUCUUGUUCGAUUUGGGUUUGACAGGUAUAUUUUUUGCUUAACAUGAGGUCCUUUAUGAUGUACUGAUGUUAUGCUAUGGUCACUUGCCUAGCAGGCUGCUUCAUGAAUUUCUGAAUAUAAACUACCUCUUCCUUCUUGGACUCAUCAAUUGCUUAAUUAUAUCUUCUUUGAAUUGAGUGUCAGUAGCAUCAUAAGGUAUGCAUACAUGCUCUGUGUUCGCCAUUUUGUAAGUUUAAGGCCUCAAGUUUUGCAAGUUGGUUUGGAGAGUUGUACUGCAUAUGGAUGAUUGCGUUUGGUACCUCAGGGAGUACUGAGUGUUUUUUCCUAAUAAUUUUCAGGGAGUACUUAGUCGAUUUGGUAGGACAGCCUGGUUGUCUAUCUGAGCCAGAUUCACUGCUCAAUGGUCCUUCUUCCAUCUCAAUAUCUUCGCCAUUACGCUUUCCCCGGACCAAAGCAGCUCAACAUGGCAUUGAUUUUAGGUCACUUGCCAAGCUGUACUUCUCAGACUGCCAGUCACUGAAUAUUGUAUUUGAUGAUAUUUCAGCAGGUAAUACUUGGAGAAAGUUUAUAGAACAAAGAUGGUAUAAGUUGACUCGUAGUAAUGAAGGCUAGUUUGUCACUGUUGAUUCUUAAGAGAGAUAUUUAAAUGAUUAUGCAUUAGUCUGUUGGUUGGUGAUAUAUGUCAUACUGGUCACUUGCUUGUACUUAUGCGUCAUGUGAUGGUUCAUGUUUUCUAUGUUGAUAAUUAUGGCGUGCCCAACUUUUAUGUGGUAUUUCAGAUGAUAAUACCAUUGUAUACUGUUAAUCAUUGAAAUAAGUUGUGUUUUAAAUUUUAAUAUCAUAAUACUAGAACAACUAUCACUUGGCCUUUCAAUUACUUAUGGUUACUUUGUUUGUAUAUUUAAGGCGAUUUGACUCGAGUUGGAUAUAAGAUUUUUUUGUAUGGUUUUCCUGAUCUUUGCUUAAUCUUUACACAGCAGGCGUUCCCAUUAAUGAUGAAGACUAUAAGUUCCCCACAAGCAAUGAAGUUUCUCAACCGCUUCUGCCGCCUAGAAUUGGCCGUACUGGUGGUCAAGAAAAAUAUUCCCAACCUCCGAAAGCUUAUACUCCUCCACAAAGUAUCCAACCAUCAAACAUGCUCAAAGAUCAUACCGCAAAUAAGCAUUUGCCUCCCACUGGGCAACAUCUUUUAUCUGUACCUGCUCAGAGAUUCGAAGCUAGUUCAGAUUCAAGGUUCAAUGAAGGCAGUCAAUUGAUUUCUGGUAGACCAAGCAAAGAACUAUCGCUCGAGGUUGAGGAUUUUGACAUCCCAUGGAGUGAUCUCGAGUUGAAAGAGAGGAUUGGAGCAGGUAAGUGCUUUCUGCUGCAUUUAUGUUUACUUACACUUAGUGCACCACUCGUGACUGAUAUCUAUUGGGCUUGUGGUACUGAAAUGAUGUAAUGCUUUGAUACAUUGAUUUAUACGAUGCUUGCCAUGCUUCUCCAGGUUCUUUUGGGACUGUCCUUCGUGCUGAUUGGCAUGGCUCAGUAAGUUGUUGAACUUUUUUUUUCUAGUUGAUUGACCUAUAGUUAUUCUAGUUCAAGCAUCAGUAUCAAAAUGGGCGGUGUUGGAGGAGCGAUCUGUGAACGAUAUGGAUAUUGGAGCUGUUAAGACUUAUUUAUGUUUUUGAAAAGUUACAUUUGCCAAAGUAGUGUAGAGCAGUUGAACAUCCAUGCAUUUACUUCUGCUGUUGCAUUAACAUGCAAUCUUUCAUCUGUUAGUUUUUUAGUGCGGAAGUUAGUAAGUUUUCCUCAGAUGAAUUUAGCAAACCAAUUCAAUUGCAGUAUGAAAGGGCAUGAAUCAUUUUAACAUAAUGUGGUUUAGAUGUUUCGGGCCAGAAUUUGGUUGUUUCUUUUUUAUCAGCAUGUUCAUGUGAUUUUGCCUUCUCCAAUUUUGGUUUUAAUCUUGCUUCUACUCCAAAACCUUUUCUCGAUUAUAGGAUGUUGCUGUGAAAAUUCUCAUGGAACAAGAUUUUCAUGCCGAGCGCUUCAAUGAAUUCUUGCGAGAGGUAUGUAGUGUGGAAUCUGAGUCCCAUUAUUGUUAUUCUUGAGUUUUCUAUAACACGUGGCACUUGUCCUUUUUUCAGGUUGCAAUUAUGAAGCGCCUAAGACAUCCAAAUAUAGUUCUAUUCAUGGGUGCUGUUACUAAACCACCAAAUCUGUCUAUUGUGACAGAAUACUUAUCAAGGUCGGAUGGUAUCACUUUAAAAUUUGUUCUGAAUUCUAUACAUUUGUUGUAAUGUGGCUUCAAACUCUUCUUCUCCUUGCACUCACUUGUACCUGAAGUCAUUAUCAUGUAGGAGUUGAUGAAUUGGUACUUUGCAUUGCAGAGGUAGCUUAUACAGGUUACUGCACAAGUCUGGUGCACGAGAGGCCUUGGAUGAAAGACGUCGGUGGAAUAUGGCAUAUGAUGUGGUAUGGGUUCGUGAUUCCAUAUACAUUUCUUUGUGUGUUGCUCGCUCUUUUUUUUAUGCUAUGCACCUCAUUUCCUAUAGUGGAGCUGAUUGUACCUCCGUUGUCUUUGACAGGCAAAGGGAAUGAAUUAUCUUCAUAAGCGCAAUCCUCCUAUUGUGCAUAGAGACUUGAAAUCCCCCAAUUUGUUGGUCGAUAAAAAGUACACAGUGAAGGUAAUGUGACUACGUAUGCUAAUUGCAUAUAGAUAGUGGUCAUCCUUAUUGUUGCCAGGUUCAGUGCUAAUUCUCCUACUGCAUCAUUUGAGUAGGACCUGGAUCCUGGCUUACUUGGAGAUCAUAGUCUUUUUGUCUAGGUUGCUUUUCUAUAUAGAAUCUUUAAUUCUUUGGACACCUGAUCCGUAUGAAUAAUGCAUAAUUUUGACGGUUAAUGAUUCUCCCUGUUGAUGCCUUCUGCUAUCUGCUUGCAUUAGAUACACAAUUGUUUUUCUGUUGAACUUGUGUAAAUUUGUAUUCAGGAGCUCGUGUGCGUAAACAGUUCUCAGUUCUAUCAGUUUUAUUUAGUACUUUUCUAAUCUCUUCUUAAUUCUACCAGGUUUGUGAUUUUGGUCUUUCUCGGUUCAAAGCAAAUACUUUUCUGUCAUCAAAGUCAGCUGCAGGGACAGUAAGUCUAGCCAAGUGAAUUCCUGAUUUGUCAGAGGUCUAUUCGUAAUGAGGCUUAAUUAUGUUUCUUUUGAAUUGUCAGCCUGAGUGGAUGGCCCCUGAAGUUCUACGUGAUGAACCAUCAAACGAGAAGUCGGAUGUGUACAGCUUUGGUGUAAUUCUGUGGGAGCUUGCGACGUUACAGCAACCCUGGGGCAAUUUAAACCCAGCACAGGUAUAUCUUAUACUCAAAUAGGUUCUUCCAAUGGCUGCUAGUUUGUAACCAUAAACAUUUGGUCAGGAAGCCGACUGAUGAUCUUAUCUUACAGGUUGUAGCUGCAGUUGGUUUCAAAUGCAAAAGGCUCGAGAUUCCCCGGAAUGUAAAUCCUCUAAUAGCAAACAUGAUCGAGGCUUGCUGGGCUAAGUGAGUGUAGUAUUACUUGUCUUCCUUUCUACAGUCACUUCAGAGCAAUUUAAUAUUAACAGGAAAUCAAUUUCCUCGCAGCGAACCAUGGAAACGACCUUCGUUUGCCAACAUCAUGGAAUCCUUAAGGCCAUUGAUUAAACCUCCGACGAAUCCGCCAACAGCUCGUUCAGAGAUGUCGUUACUUCCUUGAGGCAAGAGGCAGCUUAAAAGAGUCUUCUUAUUCAUGCACAUAAUACAGCAUUCUUUUCCAAAAUUUUGACGACUUUCAGAUGCAAGCAUUGGUUUGGUAGAUAGCACCUUCAGGUACCAGUUUUCAUCGUCUCUCUUGGCCAACCCUCUCGCAGUUAACUUAUAGUAAUCCAGUUCCAAUUUCAACACGAGCGUAACAACUCGUCUUUGAAUCUCUUUUGCCUGCAGCUACUACUGUUGUAAAUGUCUUGUCUUUUAGAGAUUCUGAGUUUGAAGACAAACCUAAGCUGAUUGCAUUUGCAUUUAUCCCCCUGCGACGGAGAUGCCAUCGAUGAUGGCGGCAAAAAACAAGCCUGUGUAAAGUCGUCUGCCCUCCAUAAUUUUGUAUGUAACUAAAGGGGAAACAGACUAUAACUUAAUGCUUAGUAUUAAUGAGAAGCAGCUUCCGCUGCAAUUGAUGCUGGCCUUGGAGCAUGUAUCAGAGACCAAAGUUGUCUUCAGUUUCUCAUUUGGAUCUUCAACACUUCUGUAUGAAGAACAAUAUCGAGAUAACAACAAGAGUCUACGACCUAAUAUAAUAAUGAAAGUUGAUACAUCAAUCAGCAACACCUGGGUAAUGUAGAGCUUCGGGUGCCACUUGAUGGGCAACCCUACUAUCCCGUACAUUACGAAUACAGACCAAAGACAAGGAAUAUAACAUGCUAUUGCUACGGCAUCCUGGAAGAAACGAGCCCACAUGAAUAUCUGGGAAGGAGCUUGAAAGCAAAGGGCACUGCCUAGCCCAGUCGGUGAAGAUUGUUAGUAGUCAAAGGCGGUGGUGUUGACUGAACAUGAGCGCUUGUCGGAUUGCCAUGAAUUCACAAGGGAUAGGGCGAGUAAUGACUAUAACAAUCAUGGUGGAGACGGACUGCAACGAACCCUAUCGAGUGAAUUUCUGUCUUCUGACCGCAGUUGGUUGCUAGCCGUAGUAGUCGAAACAGCAGGUACAGAACAAACUGUGACAAACGAAAAAUCAAAAUUGUUGAAUGGAGAGAGAGAAAGUUUGAGAGUAGUGAGAUUUUAUUAUUUUAUUAUAUAAAACUGUCAUUUUCAAUUCAUAAAUGCUUAUUAUCGACGAAACCUCCCCUGAAAUCUGAUUGGCGCGUGGCAUAACUUAACUACCAAGUAUCACCACCACCUCUCUAAUCUCCAAAAUCUGAUUGGUUAUCGCCAGCUCUUUUCCCACACAAAAAAUGCCAAGUCGGAUGAAAAUAUCUCGUCCACGUCACGCGCCACCAACAGAAACCACCAGGAAACCUCUCUCCUCCGCCGUCACGUGAUCCCAGACCAGCCCCUACGGCCGCCCCCCCUCCACCGCCUUACUCCAGAUAUUUUCAUCAAACAGUUUGUCGGCGCUUUCUUUCUCCAACUUGUAUAAAUUCACAUGGCUACUCUCACCUUCCAAUUUCUAACAUUUCCUCUCUGUUUCGUAACAUAAAUCAAAUGAACCCAGAGGACGAUAACUACUCGGAAUCACCUGACGCCAGCUCAAUCCCCGUGUGCUCAGUUAUGGAGGAAAUGACCAUUCCUGCUUCUCCAUUAAUGGCCUUCGAGGAUUCCUCGCAGGCUUUCGAGUUCAAAGCUGAGCCAUUAAUCCCUCCGGUUGGGAUUAUUCCUCAGCCGCUUUCGAUUCUGCAGGAAACCCCGGUUCCGCCGUUCCUGUCCAAGACAUUCGACCUGGUGGAUGAUCAGGGACUGGAUCCCGUGAUUUCGUGGGGCGGAAGGGGAGAGAGUUUCGUGGUUUGGGAUCCAGUGGAGUUCUCCAGAACUAUACUCCCUCGCAAUUUCAAGCACAACAAUUUCUCCAGCUUUGUUCGGCAGCUCAAUACUUAUGUGGGUACUUUUGCUGGUAACGGCAGCAGCUUGCUAAAAGCUUCUGUGGUUACCUUACCUCUUCCCUCACUGAACUAAUCCUAUCUUUAUUAUUCCUUUCCUUGUUUAUCGUUUUGAUGAUGUAAUCCGGUUCUUUGUAACUUUGAGCAGAUUCUUCUUGUUGGUAUGUAAUAAGGCUCGAAUUUCGGAUGUAAUUUGAAAUUUGUAAACUGUAAUCAUCUCGGGGAUUAGGCUAACAUGGUAGAUUUAGAUGUAGUAUGUAGAGCUUCUGGAAUUCAAGAUGAUGAUGAUAACUAUAGCUGAAGUUUGUACUGGAGCUGGGAGCUACCUACCUACCUAAAUCCAAAUGAAGGUAGGAUUUCAGAGAACAUGAUAAUAAUGUUACUGAUUCUUGUUCAGCAAUUUUCUGCUUACUGUUUGGUGCUCUGAAAUAAAUUUUGCCGUCUCCAGAUUGAGUACCUAUAUUGUUACAAGGCAGGCGUUCGGAUUUAUCCGUGUGUUGGUUUAAUGGUUUGGGCUUCCUUGUUGAAUUGAUGAGACAUGUUGAAGUUUCAUUCUAAGCUUUUCUGUGCUUCCUACUUACUCUUUGAGAUCCUCCUUUGCAGGGGUUCCGCAAAGUGGAUGCUGACAAGUGGGAGUUUGCCAACGAAGGCUUUCGACAAGGUCAGAGGCACCUUCUCAGGAACAUUCAAAGGCGCAAGCCUCCGCAGAUGAGUACCUAUGUUGUCGAAUCGGUGGACACCGAGGUGGAGAGAUUGAGGAAGGAGGAGGGUAUAAUGAUGCAGGAAGUUGUGCAGCUUCAACGGCAGCAAAGAGGAUAUGUGAAGCAUAUAGAGACUGUUAACAAAAGGAUUCAAGAUGCAGAACAAAGGCAGAAGCAAAUGCUCUCAUUCCUCGCUAAGUUGUUCCACAACCGAGCAUUCCUAGACCGUCUGAAGCAAAGCAAAGAGCCAAGGACGACGAGGAAGAAAUUCAUAAGACACAACCAACCCGAGUCAUCUACUCAGCCACCUGAUUAUGCGUUGGCAGGGAUAGUAGAAGAAGGUUUGCCAUUUGAAAUGGAGACGUUUGUAUCGGAUGACCUCGGAUUGGGGCAAGAAGAAGAAGAACCCAUCAUCCCUCCGCAGCAGAUUCAAGGAAAGGCAACGACUUUGCAAAGUGAGGAACUUUAUUAUAAAGGGAAACAUGUAAUGGGUCCCCAACAGCAAGAAUUUGGUCCAGAAUAUUUGGUCUCCUUCCCUGAGGAUGCAUGGAGUAUGGGAUUUGACACACGUCCUGUUAUAUCUUGUCCUGGUAAUGAGCUGUGGGAUGAUAUGGUCCGGUAUGAUGUGCCGGAGUUUGGAGGAUUUGCAGGUGGGUUCUCUGACAUCUGGGACUUGGGUUCAUCACAAGGAGCAGGAAGUUCAAGUGUUGACAAGCAGCUAGCUGAUGAAAGCCUACUUAAUGAGCCUCCUACUGAUAAUAUUUCUAGUCUGAACAACUUAGAUGCGUAGAAAAUUCAUUAGCAUCAUCAUUUCGGAUGCCGUAUAUAGGUUAUAUAAUUAACAGUCGACGUUCGACGAAUCCCAAGGGUUGAGAUCCAGUAUCUGGAUUUCAAACCUUGGUGCAUAGCGGACGUUCACUGAACAUAUGGUGUUUGAUUGAAUACAGACUUCUAUUCUUCUUAUAUCUGUUGCAUUUCAUCCUUUUUCUUUCUGAGUUCAUUUUCUAUGUGUGCUUGAGCUUCAUUAGGCAGCAAAGGUGAGAUGCAAUCGUGACUUUUUAUCUAUUUUUGAUUGAUGCUAAUUAACGGAUGUUAUUUUGAGUUUGUCAAUCUUGCAGAUGAAGCCAGCAAGAUGGUGGAUCUUGUUACCUUGGGUUUUGCCAAGCGUUCAGCUAAUACUUCCGCAAGAGUAAUCAAGUCUGCAGAUUUCACUUGCUAUGGUCAUUUAUGAAAGACUGGCUCUGUGGACGAUUUAAGAUCGAUGUUGUAUGAAAGUACUAAUGCUUGAUGUUUGUGAAACCGUAAUGAAGAUGCAGAACCGUGAUUGAAUCGUUGCUGGAUAAUUCUCGUUCUCUUGCUUUGUAUGGCAUCUGUAACAACAUUUUUUAUUGGUGAAAAUAGGAGAACUAAAUUGUUGUUCGUCGUUCUAGAAUUUGAAAAAAAUCUCCGUAAAAUGGUUCAAGUGUCUUUAGCUCUUAAAAACGUCUAACGUUUCAAACAAACAUUCCAACCCUAAAGUCGAAUUAACGAUCGUUUCGACAAACAUCUCCUAAAGAUUGAAGUCGAAGAACGAAGAACACUUGUGUUUUGGAGGACAAUGGAGGAGUACAUUGCGGCGAUCUGAUUCGAAGAAGGAUAGUUGAGAUCGAAUAGGCUGUUAAGUAGAAAUAUCUCUUUUAAGGCGACAAAAUUUUGAAUUCUAGUAUUGAUAAUAUCUUCAGCUUUGAUUUUAAAAAAUACCAUAUCUUUUCAUAUUUAAUUGAUAAACCAAAUUGAUUAAAUGCUAAUAUUUUCUUACAAUUGCAUUCUUUCCUUUUGGUUGUUAUCAUCUAAACUCAAGGUUAUAAUUUAAAAUGGCUCUCGGUUGUUGAAUUUGAGGAAAACAAGGAUUAUACAAGUUAAAAAUAGUUGGUAAUAAUAAAUAGCAUCAUAUAUUAUUUCAGUAAAUUAUAUUUAUAAAUACAAUAAAAGCGAUGCCAAUUCGUAACAAAGAAAAUAAGAAUAAGAUAUAUAUUUUCACUUCUCUUUGCCAUUCUUCCUAUUUAUAAAAGACCACUCAUUCACAUCUACAUUGACAUCCCCUCAUAACAGAAUACAUAUCAUGGCCACUCGUAUUUUAUCAAAGUCGCUCCUAUGUAUAAUAGUCUUUAUAGUCAUGAUCCAUCAAACUCAUGGCUCGAGGUUAGACACUUCUGUUAAGAAAACUAAACUUUUGGGGUUAUGUCAAUUUUCUGUUAUGGUUCACAAAUAAAUAAAAGACUGAUUAUUAAAAAUUUAGUUAACUAACAAAAUUCAAAUAUGAUACGGCUAAUGAAAAUAUAAAGCAAUACGGAUCAAAAUCGCUGCUAGUGUACAAUCUCUUUAACAUUUCACAUGACUUCCUAGUCUUCAUUAACUAUGGCAGCAAAGAUGCACUCUCCGACGUCCAAGAUGUGACACAUUUGAUCGAUCACUUCAAGUUCCAUGAUGUGAAUAAGAUCAAUGCCCACUUUGUGGGAAAGUAUGCUCAUGCAGAUUUCAUCAUGGGGCUUGAUGCCAAGGACAUUGUUUAUAGUCAAGUUGUUUCUUUCUUUAAACACCACAAUUGAGGAUUAUUGUAGCAAUGGAAAAUAACUUCCUUAAAGUAGAAGAAUGUCUUGUGUUUCUUAUUGCCGACUUGUAAAAUUCUUCAUGUCGUAAAUGUUCAAUGAGUUUGCAAUGGAACUAAUGAGGAUAGUUAGGUUUUAAGCAUUAUAUUGGAUAACUUUCCAUUACUAUAAUCAGCGGUAGAUUUAAGAUGAUUUAAUGUAUUUGGACAAAUUAUAUAGAAGUUUAAAUAUAUUAGGUCGCAUAUAGAAAACAUAUUAACCAAUUAAAAAUAUAAAAAAAUUAUAUAAUAUCAAACUUCAAAAUUCGAAAAUAAACGAUGCCUAAACCCAGAAAGACCCAUAUAUCCGCCGCCAAGAAUAAUUAAGAGCUUGAAACACUUAAACCAUUCUUGAAACCAUGAGGAGACUGAUACACUUCCCACAAUAGAUUCCCACUCUGAGACGAGAGAAAAUCUUUGACCAAGAUUACAAGAAAUUGGGCUGAAUAAUAAUGGGCUUGAAGAAAAAUUGACUUACCAAUGGGUCCGAUUAAACCGACCUCAAAGAACCUAGAUGGACAAUAGCUUGCAAUCCGAGUAACCCCACUGUUGGGUAUUGGGCCCAUGGAAAUUGACUUACUAAUGGCCCGUUUGAUUUUCCGAUGAAUAUUUCAUUUUUAUUCAUCUGAUGCAGAUUGUCGAAAAUAAAUAACAAGAAUUAUAAUUAAGAAUAUUAAUUAUGGUUAAACAUAUAGAAAGUAUCCCUACCGAUAUGAUUGUGCUAUAUAACUCUUAUAUAAUCACAAUAAUAACAAAUAUAUUCAAAAUAUGUUUAAAUUGAGCUCUUAAUAUAAAAUUGAGUGAUUAGGCAAUUUUAUAAGGCCAACCAAAUAAUAAAAGAGUGCUUACUAAUAAAAAGAGCUUUUCAAAUACGAUCGUACUAUAUAACAUAUGCUCCUCAAGUAUAAUAUGUCUUUCAAACCAUAGAUAUGAAGAAGUUGGACAUCAAAAUACCUUGCCGUAAAAUAAUAAAUUCGAUUUUAAUCAGCCUCCAAAAAAGAAAUUUAUUAUAAUUUUCAGAUUGGACUAGCUGGAGCUAAAUUAUGAGUGGCUAUAUGUAAAUUCUCCACAUAUCCUUUUGCCGGCCCCGUAUUUCGGAGUUUCUUCUUUCUCCGAAGCCCUUUGGUUGCAAAUAUUUAUACUGUGUCGAACCAAUCAACGAGCAGUUCCUCCUCCGCCAUUUUUCUUCUGUUUCGUCUCUCUCAAUCUCUUCUCUCAAUUUCGUAACGCUCGGCUUGUUUCUGUCCGAACGAGCUCCUAUCACUCUUCACAUCUUGUAGAUUGGAUUUAAUCUCUGUAACGUUUCGCUGUUCAAUUACAGUUUCGUAGAAUUCAAUCUGCGUAUGUACAUCAGCAGCGCUUUCUUUAUUUUUGUAUCUUCGAUUUAUCUGUAAAAUUCAGUUCUAUUCUGGGGCGGUUCUUUCUCUUUGGAUUCUGUAGGGUUUGGGUGGUAUACCUUAGCGGUUAUCAGUUCAGUUCGAUGGCGAUUACGGAGUGCUAUGUAAGAUUGAAGAAAAUGGAAUAAGUUUACGGUAGGGUAUUGAUUUUUUUUUAGUUUGGUAAGUGGGAAAUGGAGAGCAUGCGUAGAUCGCUGGACAGAUCAAGGCAACCUGGUUUGAAGAAACCUCGAUUAGCGGAGGACCAACCAAACCCUAGCGGCGGCAGCAAUCCUUUCGUCCGGAGGCCUCCACCCACAGCGGCAGCGGCGGCGGCUGCUUCCUCGAGGUUUAGGGCUGCCGGCGAUAGAGACUCGGGGAGUAAUGAUACGGUGAGGGGCGGUGAUGCGUACCACCCUCAGCCAUUACACCAGAAUCAGGUUCAGGAACUGGUGAAUCAGUACAAGACUGCUCUAGCGGAGCUGACUUUCAACUCCAAGCCAAUUAUUACUAACUUGACUAUAAUUGCUGGGGAGAAUGUCUCAGCAGCGAAGGCCAUUGCUGCAACUGUCUGCAAUCACAUUAUUGAGGUGAAACCUAGUUUCUUUGACUCUGUUUUUGGAUAUUGGCAGCAAUUUGAAUUGUUUUGGUUUGGAAGGCAAAAAAAGCUGGCCAUGUUACAGUUUGUUCAUGAAUGUGUGUGUGUGUAACUUCUGUUUAAUAAGAAAUGGGUCGAGAUAAGUAGCCAUUCACUUCGUCUUCUAGUCGCUUAAUUUGAGUUUGAUGUGACAAAGCUAGUUCGGUUCUUCACAUUGCUUCUUAAGCGGCCAAACUUGCGUAUAUUCAAUGGAUGUGCUCAAUGUUCACGAUCAACAAUAUCUACUACCCAACCCAUCUGAUGUUGCCCGUAUAUGGCUCUCCAUUAAUUGUAUUUCACUGUGCGCUGUAUACAUAUGGAUAUCCAAAGCCGAGCGUUCUUUUUUUUAUGCUUCCAUUUCACUUUCUAUGCAAAGAAAGCUGGUUCGGAGACAGUGAAUGUGACUUUCAUCUACUCUUUUGGGUUGCAAUCUUUCCUCCAAUGUAAAUGGAGUUUUAGUUGCUUCUCUUUGAGAUAGCUCUGCCAAACUUUUGGAUGUACGGAGUGAGAAGAAUUGAACAAGAACGGACAUUGGAUAGAAGAAAAAUGAAAGAUGACAGAAAGAGGAGUGACUACAAUAGAAUUCUAUUGUAUCAAGAAGGAUCAAAUGUUUCAAUUUUCUUUCUGCCACAAUGGGUGGUCUGUUCUGUUAUAUGGAGUUUGGAAAGUUGAUAGGGGAAGUCAUAUGGUAGCUGAAAUGGAACUAAACUUUGUUUACUCUUUUUACCUCUUCUGUUGUUCUCUCUAAAUUUUGUGUGCUUCACUUAUAUUACUGAGGUACUAGACCUGAAUUCCCUUUCUGUGGCAUGUCACAUCUGAUUAGAUAACUAAUUGCAGGUUCCAAGUGAGCAGAAGCUGCCAUCACUUUAUCUAUUAGACAGCAUUGUCAAAAAUAUUGGGAGGGACUAUGCAAAACAUUUUGCGCCGAGAUUACCAGAGGUUAGCGUUUCCGAAGUGGAUCCAGUAGUAUAAAAUGAUUUUUGUUGCUAACUGCUUGAGGUGACAUCUAGCACAUUGAGGACCAAAUUAUCUUAAGAUGAUCUUCAUAUGCUUAAUAUCUGAUUCAUUGAUAUAAACAGCAUAUAUGAUGUAUGCAAAUAUUUAGUCGUCCUUCUGAAGUCAGUAGUUAUUAACAAUGCAUGUUUUGCUAGGGUUCAUUCUGAUUGCCGUUAGUGUGGGAAAAUUGCUAUAUUUUGGUCGUUGUUUCUUAGUUGGUGAAAUUUUGUGCCACAUGCUCCAGGUAUUUGGCAAGGCUUAUAGGCAGGUGGAUCCUCCUAUUCAAUCCAGCAUGCGGCAUUUGUUUGGAACUUGGAAAAACGUCUUUCCUGUCCAGUGCCUUCAGACGAUAGGGGAGGAACUUGGAUUUUCUUCUGCAACAAAUGGAUCAUCUUCAGGAACUGUGACAUCAAGAUCUGAUGCUCAGUCACAACGCCCACAGCAUAGCAUUCAUGUGAAUCCAAAAUACUUGGAAAGGCAACAGCGCCUUCAGCAGUCAGGCAGGGUUAGUUGAAGUCUGAGUCACCUUACUGUCUUGAUUUCUUAAUACAUUGCCGUAGCUAAUCCUUAAUUUCCUUUCUGGCGUCCCUUCUGUUUCUUGAUGGCAAUAGGUCCCACCAUUAGGACCAUUGUUGUUUGAAACAGAAUAUUAUUAUGGAAACCUAGUUACUUAUCUACUGUAUCUUUACUCUUUAGUUCCUCUGAAGUUCUAGUUGAUCUGAAGAUUUGUAUUUAAUGUCCUGAUAAGGCUUAAGCUUAUUAUUACUGAUGUUGCAUCUGCUUUCUGACGAAGGCGCCAACAGUGGACUCACCUGAGGAUAUCAACAGGCCAGAGAGAAUUUCUAGUAUUGUAACUUCACGCGCAUGGACAGAUUCAGCUGUUAAACUACAUGUAGGGAAAACUAGAUAUCCAUCAUAUAGUUUUCUGAGCUGACUUCAUAUCAAGCUCUCCAACUUAUUGUCUGUUUGUUGCUUUACCAGGAUAUCCAGCGUAGCCAAAGGAUAACACCAAGCCCCAUUCAGGAGAAGAACAUUGGUCAAUUGUAUGGAGACUUGGAAUAUGAAACUGAUACUUCAAGGAACUCAGGCUUGGGAUCUGGACUCACAGGUACCAGGGCUACUGAACAAGGACAUGGAAAACCUUGGUAUGGGGAGGCAGAAUUUGUUCCCAGGAAAUUGUCUGAUCCACGACUUGGGUUCAGUAUGAAGCAAGGAGGGGCUGAUCAUUUGAUUCCCAAGGCCACUAAAGUUAUUCACCAACAGCCAACAGAAAGCGUUGCGCGUAGAAGUGAUAAUAACAUUUCUACCGGCUGGAAAAACUCCGAGGAGGAGGCAGAAAUUGUUCCCAGGAAGUUGUCUGAUCCAAGACUUGGGUUCAGUAGGAAGCGUGGAGUGGCUGAUCAUUUGAUUCCCAAGUCCACUAAAGCUGUUCACAUACAGCCAACAGAGAGCAUUGCCCAUAGAAGUGACAAUGACAUUUCCAACAGCUGGAAGAACUCUGAAGAAGAGGAGUUCAUGUGGGAUAUGCACUCCAGAUUGCCUGAUCAAGAUGUUGCAAACCUCUCUGAUGACUCUAGGAAAGAUCCUUGGAUCCCCAGUGAUCCUGAGAAAUUGGUGAGACUGAAGAUUUAUACUACAAAUACAGCUCUUGUACUUUUUGAUUUGUGCAUUUCCCUUUUAAUUUUGUGAAGUUAAUUGCAGGGGUUUGAAAAUCGUGUUAGAAGGCCUCGAAUUGCACAUGAAGUUGGGUCUGGGUUUGAUAGAGAGUCUUCGUCAGAUUCAUUAUCCACCGAACAGAGAGAGCGGCUUAGUUAUGGGAACCGUUUGCCUUCUCCGUGGAGACUGCAAGAUGCAUCCUCAGUGGACGAGCUAUUGUUUUCUGGUUCUACCACUAAACCCAGUUAUGCCGAGGCCAUUAAAGCUAGUAGUGGUGGGUUCCCAUCUGUCACAAAUUCUGUAUCUAGUAUUGCAGCAGGACCUCGUGCAAGCUCCCCUCAUGAUGUAGCGUCAGGUUUUGGAGUCCCUGCUGCGACCUCUAGUCAACAGAGAUUCCCUUCCGUCAGGGCUGCAUCGCCACCCCAUAAUUCGUCACUACACCCAGCCCCAUCAAGUGCCUCACUUCCAUUGCGAUAUCUUCCUAGGCAAUUGCCAAAUGCAGCUGACCAGGACUCCUCACAAGUCUUACCUCAAUCUCAUCAGAAGGUACAUCAAUUCUCAAGAAGUUUGCUUCCUCAAAAUGUUCCUUCAGGCAAUGUGAACAAGUUUCAGUCGGAAGAUUUGCAAUCUUCCUCAGUAGUGGCUUCUGUUCAACAAGAUCGCCAGUAUUCUAUUCCUCGGGAUCAACAACUGGACUUUGGAUUGUCUGAAUCGUUUGGUCCAUGUCAGAAACAAAACCCAAUUCUGGAUUGUAAUGCUGGAGCUCCAUCAACAUCAGGAAGUUCCGGGUUAGACCAAUCCAUUCAACAUACUAGGGGAACUUCAGGCGAAUCAAGUACCAGUAGUUUAUUAGCGGCUGUUAUGAAGAGUGGAAUUUUGUCAAAUAUAACCACUGGUGGUUUGGCUAAAAAGAGUUUGCAGGAUAGUGGCCAAGUUACAUCAAAAUCGAGUACUAAAUCUCUGCCCCCUGCUACCCAAGUCAAAUCUUUUGGUCCUCAGAGUAUUUCCACUUCUUCAAUACGCCCUGUGCUGCGUGAUUCAAAGUCAUAUACUUCAAAAGUAGCUCAGAAGGAAAAGCAGCAGCAAUUGCCACUAGGUUUACCAGCAUCGCUGAAACAGACUUCAAAAACGGCAGAGACAGAGUCAAACCCCAUUUCGAAUCUGUUGAGCUCAUUACUUGUGAAAGGUCUUAUAAAGUCAGAGGUGUCCUCUGCAUCAUCAUGUCAGGUUACCCCGGAACCAGAGAAUCUGACGAUAAGUGCCGUCAAUCCUAAAACAGCUCCUGUUUCUUCUCUGUCAAAGCUUAUUUCCACAGCAGGUGAAAAAUCUCUUGCAAAACCUGAUGCGAAUAGUUCUUCCAAUUUUCCCAAGUCUAACCCAGUGAUUCUGAAGCCUGACACAAAGGAUUGUGUGAAUAUGCCUCAAUCUGUCUCAGUGAAGACUGAAUGUCUUCUUGGAUUGAAGUUUAAGUCCAAUUUAGUUCGAGAAUUUCAUCCAGAUGUCAUUGAUUCCCUUUUUGAUGGCCUUCCUCACCAAUGCAAUGUAUGUGGAUUCCGACUUAAAGACAAAGAGCGGCUUGACAAGCAUUUGCAGUGGCAUAAUGAAAGACAGGCUGAUCUUGAUGUGAGAACAGCUACAAGGAGAUGGUAUGUAAAGACUGAGGAUUGGAUUUCUCCAAAGGUGAACAUUCCUCCUGCAGUAGAUUCGUCUCACGUGAAUGCCCUUCAGAAUGUAACAGAUGGUAACGCCUGCCAGAACGUAAUGGAUCUCGAUGAUGCCAUGACUCCUGCAGACGAAGACCAAUGCGUAUGUGUCUUGUGUGGUGAGCUAUUUGAAGAUUAUUAUAGCCCUGAAAGGAAUAAGUGGAUGUUUAGAGGAGCUGUGCGCAUGAAUAUUGCUUCGGGUUAUGGUAAGCAAGGAAAGAUGGAUGACUCCUCUCUUAACGGUCCUCUAGUGCAUUUGCAAUGUCGCUCAGAAGGUUCAGCCAGUGAGUUGGGUCUUUCAAAUAGUGUAAAAAUGGUAAGUUUAUGAAAUAUCCCAGCAACAUUGUAUUCUUCUUGCUUAGUAUUGUCAGGGGUUGGAUAUGUUUACUGGUUUCGAGAGAUUAGGGUCCCUUGUUGAUGCAUGAAAUUUCAUCUUUUUGCAGGAAGAAUAGCGUCCUUAAUACUCCUGCAAAGGGGCCAAUAUCGAUACAAACUGCGUUACUAGAACGCUUGAGUCGAAGAAAUGAAGGGUUUGCGACAUGCCAAUUUUGCGGAAAAUGGACACUAGUAGUUUAGCCGGGCACCAGAAAGGUGCUGAAAUUGCCUUACUGUCUAGUCUCUCCUGGGUUUCAUUGCUUUGGUUCUUUCUUACAUACAUCCCCAUUAUAGACAAAUAAUAUGAAUGGCAGACAUAGCAGCUCUACGGUCUCGUAAUGUGGUUUAUCUGUUUGAUGUUUUUUCGGAAUGGCUAUCGGGUAUGAAAUGUAUGUCCCGUCCCUCCGAUUCAACUCUCCAAGUUCAUAAGUCCAACUCAUACAACUCAAAGUUUCCUUCCCUGCACCAAGUUUUUAUGUGAGAUAACAAUUUUGUUAUACUAUUACUAUCCAGAAUGAAAAUGAAUCCACAAGGUUGGAUUUUGUUUUGAAUUUCAUCUGCUCUUUCUUUUGAGUUGUUUGUCUUCCUUCUGCCUCCCCAUCUACUUCCUCUGUUCCCAUCAAUUAAAUUAAAUUAGUGCGAACAUUAGUGUUUGUCCAUUUCGUGAGGUGUGUUGGAGUCAAAUUCGAGACUUCUAGGUCGUCAAACACAUAACUCCACUACCAAAAUAUAUUUGGACGUGUGAAGAUGAGUGAUACGCUGUAAUGUCAUCCAUGUGGAUGCCAAUCAUUUUAUCUGAGUAGAAUUGAAUCUACUAAGUAGGAAUGAGAAAUAAUGGUUAGAAGAAGGUAAGUAAUUAAAUAAUGUGUAGCUGAAAUAAACAGCAUCAAGUUGAGAUGGCCGAGUUGGUCUAAGGCGCCAGAUUAAGGUUCUGGUCCGAAAGGGCGUGGGUUCAAAUCCCACUCUCAACAGUCUGAUUUUUUGUUUAGGUUUCUUCGAGUUCCAGUGCUCUCAUUGCGCAUCAUUCCACAGCUGCAUCACUGCUGUAUUGGGACGUUAUUGGUGGUGGAUAUCUUCCUUCAACCUUGAUAUUUUUACCAAAAUGACUGUGGGAGUAGUUAGAAGCUCAAAGUCAACAGUUGAAUCCUGAUCAUUAAUCAAAUAGCCCUACUAGUGGAUUUCACCCCUUUAAUUUCCAUAGUCAUUCACGAGUGGGGUUUGACAUGAUGAUAUGCAGGUUCACUUGGAAUUUAAUAUUAAGUGUGUGUUCUUCCCUCCUCAAUGCAACUUGCAGAUUCAAAAUUAAAAUAAUUGCAGAUGUCAAGGAUGGAUGCACAGCCCCAUAGCCAUUAGUAGUGUUGGUGGGAAAGACAGCUCCAUCGGUUUCCAGAAUUGGCAGAACCAGUUUGACUUUCUCAAUUUGGUUUGAAGAUCAAAAUUUCUUUACACUCAAUGCAUUGACAAAUAAUUUAUUCCAAAUAUAUAUAUAUAUAUUCAGUUAGUCAAAUGGUGGCGUUGCCGCAACUCCAUCCACAUGAAUACAUCACACCCAUAAGUCCAUUUUGUAUCCAUCGCAUCCCUCAUAAAUGCAAUUGCACGAUAAAGUGUUAGAAUAUAGAAUCAAGUCAACCGGUAACACAUUCGGUACAACGAAAUGGUUAAAUACUUUAUGUUAACCUUAUGUAAUUAUGUAUGUCGAUGGUGCAAUCAUUGCUCGCCUCAGUGGUACGACGGGCUUGGUUCUACGAGGUUUUCAAGAGCACAUCCUGCAUGGUAUCAAUACGACCUUGUGCUUCUAUCGUAUCAUCGGGAUUCUCAAAUUUUUAAAGGUGUGUCUACAUCUCCGUUUGCAAGUAGUUUGCCCACAUGUUAACACAAUUGCUCAUUCAAUGGUGAAAAAAAUCCUUAUAUAUCUCUCAAAUCGUAUGAAGACGGAUGUAAAUUAAUCUUUCGAAUUUAUCUUUAUCUAUUGGUGUCUCCUACUACACACGACACGACUCACUAGCUUUUUCAAUUACUCUCCUUUCUUUUUAUAACUCCAACUCACUCUGGCCGGCCAUCACCUUCCUCCUCAAUAAUCGUCUUCUUCCACAAUGAAACCACCUCCCAUUGCUUUAACUCGGUUCCUUUCCCUUCUACUCAUCUUCAUUUCCUCCUCCUCGGCCGCCGCCGACGAUGCCGCACAAACCGAGCUUCUACCGGGGUUCAAAGCAGCUCCAGAGCCUUCCACAUCAACCUUUCAGCCGAUUCUCAAGGACCCAUCUGGCAAUUUCUCACUCGGUUUCCUCCGGCUCGACUCGGACCACCAGUUCGCUUUCGCAGUCGUCCACAUCCCUUCCCUCCAACCAAUCUGGCAGCCCAACCCAACCUGGUCGGACCAGACAACGAGUCAGACUCAACUCUCCUUCAAUGGCACCCUCGUAAUUUCCGACUCUCGCUCCCGCAUUCUCUGGUCCACCACCGGUUCUAAUACUGCAGGCGACAGAGUCGUUUUACUCAAAAACUCCAACCUACAAGUGCUGCGAAACGACGCCGUUGUCUGGCAGAGCUUCGACUACCCAGCAAACACCCUCGUUCAGGGCCAAAAUUUCACUUCUGCCACUUCCUCCGACGACCGUUACGCCCUCCGAUUGGGGUACGAUUUCAUGGCCUUAUACGCAGACUUCUCCGGAAAGGGCGAUCCGGAUCGAAUUUACUGGAAGCACAAAGCCCUCGAGGCGCGAGCCGACGUCGUGCCGGGUCAGGGCCCGAUCCACGCGCGUGUGGACCCGAUCGGGUUCAUCGGGAUGUACCAAUCAAUUAACGGCUCCGUCCCAAUCGACGUCCAGGCUUUCAACAGCUUCCGCCGUCAAGUCAACGGGUUUCACAUCGUCCGUCUGGAAACUGACGGAAACCUGAAGGCUUACAAUUGGGACGGAAGCAACUGGGUCCUCGAUUACCAGGCCAUACCUGACUUCUGCGACCUGCCCCAUCCGUGCGGGUCUUACGGGUUAUGCCGACCCGGUCCCACCUGCUCUUGUCUGGACAACUCAACCGCGUUUGGUUUCCGUCGGGGUCAGUCGGGUCAGUGUUUAUCCGCGGAGUCAGGCGAUUUUUGUGGCGGGCAGAGACCCGGCGAACCCGGUUUCCGGGUGUUGAGGAGUAACAAGGUGGAUUUGCCGUUUAAGGAGCUGAUGAGCUACAAAACGGCGCCGUCGAUGACUGAAUGCGAGGGGUUGUGCGAGAAUAACUGCACGUGUUGGGGAGCGGUGUACAAUAACGCAUCCGGGUUCUGUUACCUGGUGGAUUACCCGAUCCAGACGGUGUUGGGAGUGGGCGACGAGGGCAAAUUAGGCUACUUCAAGGUGAAAAACGAAGGGGCGGCAAAUGACCGGAAGGGAGUUGGGUCGGGAGUGCGGAUCGGGUUGGUGUGCGGGGCGGUUUUGGUUUUGGCGGGAGCGGUUGGGGCGGGGAGUUACAAUGGUUGGAAGAAGUACAAGAGGAGAAGGAAUCGGAUACUGGAAGAGGAUGGAGUGUCGGAGCCCGGCCCGUACAAGGGACUCGGGUCGGAUAGUUUUAGAUCGGUUGAGAUGUCCGAUAGAAGAUGACGUAAGGGAUGACGACAUUUUUAGUUUUUCUUACGGAUGUCUGGCUCUGCUAGUGGCCAGUGGGUGGGUUUGACUCAUUGUUUAUAUAUUAAUAUUUUAUUUACAUGGAAUAUUUUUUUAAAUAAUAAUGUAACAUUUUUUUAUAUAAAAAGAAAGCUAGGAAAAAUACGACAAUGGGGGUCGGUUGAAUGCGAAAACCAACGCCAAAAAAUUUGAACAACUUUGAACUGUGGAUGAAAAGGAUAACCACAUGAAUUCAUCAUCAUGUGAUGCAAUAAUAUAUAUAUGACAAGUAAUUACAGUACUUAUCUCUAUUUCGUAUGGGAAAGUCGGAUCGGUUUUAUAAACAAGCAAAAUGGCAAAUCUUAUGUGGAAAACUAUGGUGGUUUACUUAGUUAAUAAGAUAUGGUACUGCUAUAAUAUGUAUUGUAUUAAAUAUAGUAGUACGUUUCAAAGUUCGGAAAUAAUUAAAAAAUAUUAACAAGUUAUAAUUUUAAAAGUGAAUAUAAAUUAAAAAUUAUUAAAAUAUUUCUUUUAUAUAUUAAACGUAUAAUACGUGUUUAGUACGUAAAGUAUUAAAUAAAUAUAAAAAAAUUAAAUUUUUCUAUGAGAAUGAAAGUUUUACACACAUAUAACAGAGUAUUAAUUCAUUUGUAUAGGAUGAAAAGAGACAAAAUGUUAUAAAAUAUCGCUCCUAUGGGCCGGCAAUACCAGUUUCUUUACUUUGGGUCAGAUACUUAGCGAAAGGAGGCCUAGUUUGGGCUUUCUUUUGGGCUUCACACAACCAAACUCCUACUGAAACAUCUUGGUGACGGGCAUUGGAACUUGCACUUCUUUUUUUUCUUGGAAAUCUCACCUUUCAUUGGUAGUCCCCACAUAAUCAAUCUGGGCGAAAUCGACUUUUUCAAUACAUACAUUGUGUCUGAUCGAAAAUGUAGACUCUACAUGUGAAAUUACAUGAGACGCGAAUUAUCAAAAUGAUAACUCUAAUUCUUUCUCUCCAAACGGAAGUAAUUGUAGCAAAGGGAGACAAAAAAACAAACUACAAAAGCUAAAACAAACAAUCGAAAAGCUAGAUAACUUGGAUAGAGCCAUCCUUAUUCGAGACUACUAAAAGAGGUUAGAAUCUCAACAAUUCCGGCUGACCCGCGGACAUUGAGCUCCGACCUUCCCACUUCUCAUUUGUAACUCUGUAAUAUUUUCAUCUUUUGACUCUCAAAUGGGUAACUUGAAGCAGGGGAUUCUUCAUGAUCAAACUGUCUAGAUCAAAAAAGGAGUAUACCACUAUCAUUGCACAAACCUCUAGCUAGCUAGCAGGGUUAUCCUCCAUUGCUACAUAUUGCAGGCCUCCACUUUGCAGGGCCGUAUUGGAGAAGCAAAAUGAAGUAAGAGUUCAGAGUAAUGAUACUGUCUGCCAAAAUUUUACAUGUUGCUGCUGCACACGCGAUACGUAUUGGCUUCUUCUUGCUUCCGACCCAAUCCAAAUGGAUACGUAUUGUCUCAAGAUUCAAAGCUUAAUUACAUAACUAGUGUUGACUAGUUUUAAAAAAUGGAUCUGGCUGCCUGCAGAAAAUCGAAGGACUCACUCAGCUGUUUCACAUUAAAUGUUUGGAUCGAUCCCCACGUUCUCUCCUGCUGCAGCCAAGCAAUGAACACUUGGAGGCUUGCAGCUGCUACAAAUAUGAACUAAUUCUCAGAGCUGCCUGCCUGGUUACGAACUGCAUUAAUUCUAUGUUCCUUCCUUCCUUCCUUCCUUACUUCUUCCCCGUCUGUUAUUUUUUAUUCUUUACAUCCAAAAUACAAAAGAAAGAAAGGUUUCAGAGUUGUUGCAACUUUCCCCAGUAAUAUUCUUUUCUUUUUCGUGUGUGACCCAUUUGCUCAUGUCAGCCAGAAAAGAAUGAAUACCUUAUUUCCUCUUUGGUUCACAAGAAGAAAAGUAAAGAAUCCCUCCAUAUACCCGCCCACUACUUACUUCUCCUUUGCUGAUAAAAGUGAUUCCCCAGAUUCCAGAAUAGUGUGGGAUGAUCGGUCGCAACACAUGGAGGCUGAAAUCAUAUAUAAGCUUCCAAAAGCAUCGUACACGUGACUCUGUUCUGCAACUGAACAUUCAUUUACCAUGAUAUUACUACUGUUUUCAUCGUCGGUUUGGUUGUUCUUCAGGACAUGGGGGGGGGGGACCAACAGUAUUAUCAAACAGAGAGAGUAGUUAGCUUUGUGUUUCCUUUUCCAGGAAACAGUCCCAAUUUUCCAUUUUAAGCUUAACCACACCAUCCACUUAUCAUUUGUAUAUGUCCUCUUCCUAGCUCCCACCUUUCUUCUGAGUUCUCCACUUUUGUCCCUUCGAGUUGUGAAUCGGUUCAAUUUGAUUUGAAAUCGAGUUAAAAUGUAUACUUUUAGUGUGUAAGUGAACCUAAAAAAUCGCUAGGUAUGAGUAUGGUUAGGGUAUUGAUAUUGAAGUAUACAUAGUGAAUAGAUAUGAAUACUAUAAUCUAUUACGAUAUGUAUGGGUCGUUUGAGUAAAUGAUUUGGACGGUGAUUAAAACCUUAAAAAAGAUUUCGUCCCAAAUCACUCUUUUGGACAUCAUAAAGAGAGAUUUCGAAGUAAAUAUGAGAGAUUUUUUUUUUUUAAUUAAUAUGGUCAUAAGAAAGUUGAAUGUUAUUUCGUAUUUUUUGCUUUUUAUAAUAAUUGAUUCAAAAUUACCAUAAAUCACCAAUCCAAAUCAUUUAUUUCAAAAAUAACAAACUUUAUCCAAAUUUUACAUAUUUUAAUUCUCUAACCGUUUGAAACCUUUUAUAUUCCAAACCUGUUUAAUUUGAAAGUGGGUAAUUUAUAAAGUAUGUGUUUUCAUUUUUCUUAAUAACUUGAAAAAAUGCUAAAAAACAUGUAAAAUAGCAUCUGCUUCGGUACCCUUGUGUGGUUGCACCUAUGCGUCACGUUAUUGAUGUCAACAUCCAUAUAGAGGGCAUUCAUAUCUACAUAAAUAUUGAGUGUCUGAUACUACGAGAUAUGCAUACUUCCUAUGUGACUGACAACGAGACUGUCACACCACUAAUACAAAACAGUAUUAACGCCUAGAUAAUAACGUUUAGAAAAAUACGCGUACCUCAAAGUUCCAAAAUAAUUACGAAUAAGUAGGAUAUGCAUUUCACUAUUCCAAUAAUAAUUAUUCGUUACCCAAAUCAAAUCAUUGUCCAUCCUACUACUUGUCUUUUCGAAUCGAAAUGUAUAAAAGUAUAAAAAUUAUAAUCAGUUGGGUAGUUUAAUACGUUACUCUAUAAAGAAAUAAAUAUUGUGACCUCGUGUGUUUAGUUGAUGAGUCGUUUUCUUUUCUGCUACGGUUGUGGAUAUUCAUACUCCUUCCUAUUUAGAUUUUUCAUACACGUUGGCUCAUCGUUGCAGCGAAUUCGAAACGGUUGACACUAAAUCAGAUUGUAUACAAAUUGAAAAAUAAGAAUUUAGGACAGUGGUAAAUUUCCUUAAUUAGCUAAUUAACUUGUGUCGCUACGAUACUAAUUUUAUGGUUUGAGCCAUUGUAAUUUUCGAAAUGAAAAAUACUACUAAUUAAUUCCAUUAUUAGAUCCGCAAUGAUAAUAACAAAAUGACAAAAAACAAUUAGGGUAUCAAAUCUCAGUCGAUGGAAGAAGACUGACUAAGCCCAGUUGACAGUUUCUUAAUCCGCCAAGUCAAACGCUACUUAACUAAUAACAAUCAGUGGGCCCUCCUCUUUCUUUCGAGUUGAUAAUUCGUUUUUUAUUUCGUACAGUUUGUAAAUAUUGAAUAAAUUAUUUUUAUUCAUCUUAUAUUCCUUCGUAUUCCUAGCCCGAUUAGAAAACAUUAAUGUGAGAUUGAAAUUCGGGCGGUACUAAAGUAUGCUCUCCGCGUUAGAUAAUUAGGGUUCCUCGAGUUUGAAUUUUCUUUUCCUUUUUUUUGUAAAAAGAUUGGUGUAAAGUCUUAAUUAUUAAUACAAAUGGCACGUGGAAGUCUCAGUUAUAUUAACUCUAAUACAAUUAAUAAUUUAAUGAGAGAAAAAAGUGUGGUGCAUUCCAAAAAAAAAGUAAUGUAUGUAUGUAUGAGCAAGGAGGUCAGCAACGUAGUUGCUUUCGAGAUAGGUGUGUCACAAAGACCGUCCAAUCGCGAUCAAGAAGCUAGUGCAGCUCCUUGAUGCAUCCACGGUGACACAAAUCAACAUCAUCCAUGUUAUGGGCAUAUGAGACAACAACAUCCGAAUCAAUUUAUAAGUUUACUUUCCCAUAUAUAUCCCGAAUCCCAUGCGAAGUCUACAACUCGGUUGUUUUCACGGUGAGUGUGUCACAAAAAUCGUCCAAUUGUGGUAAAAACCCGGUGCAGCUCCUUAAUGCAUGCACGGUGACGCAAAUCAACAACAUCCAUGCAUGUUAUGGGCAUAUGCGAGAACACCAGCCGAAUCAACUUGUAAGUUCACUCUUCUCUAUCCCGUGUCCCAUGCAAGACCAAGGCCAUGAAUGGCGGCUCAUAGCUCGUCACUGGUUCAUUGAGUUUGUAAUUAUAUAAUUUUCAAUUUUUAUUAGGAAAUUUUCUUUGAUCAACCAUCAUCUCACGAUGAAAUGCAAUUAAAUUUUUCAAAUUUAUUCCCGUUUUUCGUACAAACAAUCAUACAACAAAUUAACUUGCUGAUGUAUAUUUAACAUAAUAAUUAUGAAGAAAUGUGACAUCUUUUACCAAAAAAUCAUGAAAAAAAAUCUCUAAUCAUCCUGGAUUUUCUUCCAACAGAUCAUAUAUAAUUUGCAGAAAAUACAUACACUAAUUGUACCAAAAUAUUAUAUGAGUCAAAGAGAGAAUCUGCACUGUACUGUGUAACUAUAAGCUUUUAAUGUCAUCUUUUUAAAUGAGGAAAGAAGAAAAAAAAAGAUGUUUAUUAUAUUCCCUACGGAAAAUAACGCAUAGGCUUUAAUGUUUCCUCCCCCUCUGCUUCUCUUCCAAAAACAGAGACAGUCUCACAUGGCAGCGGGGAGAAAUCAUUUUCAGACAGAAACUCUCUUACGACGACGAAGAAGAUGACGAUGAAGACGAAGAUGAAGAAGAACUCGUAGCUAGUAGUAUUAUUACCAAACAACAACUCUACCCUUUCCCCCUUCUUCUUCUUCUUCUUCUUCUUCUUCCUCUGUUUUUUCAACGAUGAGGAGCAUCGCCACCUGUUACAGCGAACACGCCAUCAAAGUCUCCGAUUCCUACUGCUCCGGCCCAUCAACCCGACCCACUACCACCACCAUCCCCCGCAGCCUGAUCAAAUGCCCAGUCCCGUCUUCCAUCACCUCUACCUACAAAAUCGCCAAAGGAAUCUUCGCCGCCGUCAACUGGUCGGACGGCCAUGGCUUCUCCUUCUCAAUAACCGAAAAAACCCCGCCGCCAAAUUCGGAUUCCCCUUCUUCUUUCCAUCGUUUUCGGAAGCUAAAAGGGAGCAAGGAAUUCCAAGCCUGCGGUUUGAACAUCGAGCUGUUCUGGGACCUCUCGUUGGCAUCGUAUUACGAUUCGGGACCGGAGCCGGCCAGCGGGUUCUACAUCGUGGUAUUGGUCGAUUCGCAUCCGGCUUUGUUCCUCGGAGACGUCGACGAGAGUGAGGAGGAAGGCGAAUUGGAAUUCAACGCUGAGAUUAAAAGAGCAGAGUUCUCCCCGAUUUCUCGAAUUGAGAAAUUCGGGUCUCAAUCGGGGUCGGGUUACUCGACGCGGGCGCAGUUCAGCAAGGUGGGCGAAGCGCACGACGUGGCGAUCAGGUUCGGGUCGGGCGAGGACGGAGCCGUGAAGAGAGACCUGGAGGCGGCGGGGGAGAUGAUGUCAGUUUGGAUUGACGGGAGGAAGGCUUUCCAGGUGAAGAGGCUGAAGUGGAAUUUCAGAGGGAAUCAGACGGUUUUCCUGGACGGGAUUUUAGUGGACGUUAUGUGGGAUUUACACAGCUGGUUUUCCGCCAUGGAAACAGGGGAUCAUGAUCGUGGUGGAGGUGUGUUUAUGUUCAGGACUAGAAGCGGAUUCGACAGCAGGCUUUGGCUAGAUGAGAAGAAGACUAAGGAUCCUGAACGGGAUGAGUUUUCUCUCGUCAUUUGUUUGUUAAAGGAUCGCCGUCGAUGAUAAUGGGCGGCUAGAUUCUUCCCUCUUGAUGAUCAAAGUAUUAUUUGUUAAUCCGAUUGAUUGAUGAUUACAGUAGAACAAUUUGUUUGUGUUGACAUGCAAUGCAUUAAGUUUGGCUAUGGGGUUCCUCCAUGAAUUUGUUCUUCUUGGUCGGAGGAACAAAUAGAAGUUAGGAAUGUGUACAAAUUCAAUUAUGGAUUUAUUCUUUUUCUUCGAGAGAUAUCAAGAUAUAUACUCAAGUAAUAUCUAAAGAUCUAUCCAAAUUAUGAGAUCAAUCUAAACAUAGCCAGAGAGAUAUGAAAAGGUCUUUUUCGUCACUAAUGAGUAGCUCAGUUACCUACACCUCACUCGACAUGAGGAAAGCCAAUACUUACGUAUCCUGCUGCAAAAACCCGAACGGAACCGGCUAUGCAUCACUGUCAAUGUAGAACCCUAUCACACUCUCCAUCAAAGGCUCCAAACACACGUGCUGAGAAUAUCCAGGCGCUUGCAAUACCACUAAUAAGCAGCUCAAUUACCUACUCCUCAAUUAAAGACAUGCACCGAAAUCACGAGUAUAUUGAAAGAGGCUUGACAACAAGAUGAAUGGAUGCUACAUUUGACUUAACGGUUGCCACAACACAACUUGGUAGGUUGAAAGAAGGAAUGAAAUAUGGAUGGUUAGCUAUCAAAUAUUAAAAGAGAUGGAUGGAGAUCAGACGUGACUACUGUAAUCGCCAUAAUAAUAGUGUAAUGUGGCAUUGAUGUUUCCCCUGUGUGGAAGUUGAUGGGUUCCAAACCCACAAUUAUCCUAUUUCAUAAUCAUCCAAAGUAAUUAAUUCUGUGUAUUAAUUAAUUACAGAAGAAACUACUUUUUAACCCUUUUACGUACGUUCACUCUAUUAAUUAACUCGGCUUUGAAUUUCAGAAAAUCAUUCCUAAAAGUAUUUAUUUCGAUUUUAGCUUGGAAUUAGCUGCAAGAAAAGAAGAAGAAGAAGAAGAAGAAGAAGAGGCGAUGUGGCCCAAUAUGAAGAUGACUGUCUGCCUUUUGCUUGUGGUUGAAUGGAGGCCCAUAAAAGGUGCGAGGCCCAAUUUCACCAACCCAGCCCAUAAAAGUUGUUGUGUUCUUUUAGUUUACUACAUCAGAUUCAGAUCCACAAUCAGUGGUGGUAGGUACUACGUAGCUGUUGCUAUCAAAAACAAAUAUGGUUACCGUACCGAAUUCCGGCCCUAAUAAUAUUCACGAAUAACAGGGUGGUUCCCUCACAUUUUGUUGAUUAAUAAUCAAUUUCAAACGAAAUGAAACCGAAACUAAAUGGGUUCAUGUAUAAUAAAGACCAUCCAACAUUCAAAUCGAAAUUAGAAGAGGUUGAGAGAUAGAUAACUGGUCAUGAAAAAUUAGGUCAGAUCGAUCAAAACAAUUUCCAGCUGAUUUAUUUGUAGAUGUGAAUAAGUUUAAUCUCCUAAUUUCUAACGUGGAACUCACGAAAUCUACCAAUCAUAACAACAUGCAUGUUGGUGGUCGAUCGUCAGUACCCCUCGUCUUAAAACUUGAUAGCACAUCUCGAAUUUAGUUGUAAAAUUAUAUGAUGAGGUCCAAACUGCUAAGUAUGUAAUUAAACAAUAAUUAUACUUUAUUAGUAUACUUCAUCUGGAACGCAACGUCAUAUGGCACGCAUCCGGCCGUCUAAAUAACGGUUUGUUUGACUAAUAAUAUUUUUCUGGAAAUGAAAACAUAGCCGGUGAUAAUUGAAAUGGCGUGAAGUUGGGUGUUUUUGUCCACAUCGCAUAAACAUAAUUCAGUAGUCAGGUACACGUAGUUAUCAACCAAAACAAAGGGCAACCGAAAAGAAUGACAGUUUUUUUCUUCCAAUUAAAGAUAGAUAUAACGAACUUAUCGAGAUAAAAGAAAAAAAAUAGUAUAUUAAUGUUCAUCUAUAUGUAUAAUAUGUUGAAUUCGAAUCAAUAAAUUUUAAAAUUACCGACACACAACACAACUACUUACGCUACUCGACGAAAACCAAAAAAAAGACAGUGUCAAUAAACAAAACCCACUUUCUCGUUGCCAUUCUUUAUAUACGUAUUUGCGUGCUUUUUAGUUCUCUCCCGACGACUUCAAUCACGGGCUCCUUGUCCUUAACCUUUCUGCUUUGCCCAACGUUUUCACAGCAGCACUGGUUUUCGUUUUCGUUGGAACCAAAAAAACGAACGAGCCCCCCACCGGUUUCACUUUCCAGUUUUACCGCCCACUUUAUAACUGGUUAUUAAACAUAAUUGAUUUCUAUCCCAUCUUCCAAUCAUAUUAUAAUAAGUAUUUAGGCUAUGGAUUUGAUUCCUAAGUGUGAUUUUUGGGUGGUCUUUUAUUAUUUUGAGCCGGAAGAUUGAUUAGUUGGGUUGAGAAGUAUUGAGUUCGACUCAAUAGACCUAAUUAAUUGGAUGACGGUCGGAUAAUAAGGGUUGAUAUACUUUUAGUAUCGACGGUCUCUGCAUUCUACCUGAAGAAAUAAUAGCACGGUUACAGGAGGUAUUAUUCAUAAUGAUCGGUGUGCUUUUGUCAUAGCCUUUGCCAUCAACUUUAUUACGCGGGCUAAAAUGCGAGGGAUUGUUGAGGGACUGGAGUUGGCAUAGUCGCUCGGGAUUUAACGGGUUCGUGUACAAUCCGACUCGAAUGCACUAUUCUGUCACAAGUCUCAUAUCUCAAUUACCAACAUGAUAUACUUGUUAUGUAGUUUCAGGAACUCUACAAUCGAUAAUGAGACGUCGACAUUUUUCAUAUUUACAAUCACUUUUUUUAUAUAGUUCUCAUAUUUUUUAUUAGUCAAAUUAAAGUUUGUCUUACGGACCGAACUAUAACGCUAUUGAAAUUUUUUUCCCACGACUUGUUUCAAAUAUUUUUAAUAAUAUUUAUAGUCGCUUAUCUUUCUAGAUAACCAUUUUUUAUUUUUCUUACCACAUAGAAAUCAAGAAUAUUAGAGGAGGGUAAACGGUAAAUCGUAAAUAUAGCGGCGUGUUCUCCAAGUGCACCGCUGGAAAAAGAGGACCUAAAACAGCGACAAGUUCGAGGCCCAAUCCCACCUGCCAUUUUCUGAUAAUCCCCAUCUAAUAUAUAAACCCUCCACCCCACAGCCUUCUCCCCCACAUCUCGUCUUUUCUACAACUUUCAACUCCUAAUCUUCCUCUCAGUCUCCCAACAACACCUUCGCCAUGUCUUGCUACAAGGGCAAAUACGCCGGUAACUCCGCCCUUCUUCUUCGCUCUCUCUUUUCUCCGAUUCGUUUGCUAGAUCUGCUGUAUCUAUUUGCUUCUUUUGAUAUUGUUUGAUUUCGGAUCAGUUGAUUAUUCUGCUUGAUUAAUAUGCUUGUGUUAGCUGCAGAGUCGUUGUUUUUAUUAUUUUUGCAGUGAGUAAGAUGCACUUCUCGAUUGUUGGUUGAUUCGUUUCUUCUUGAUUUGUUAUCAACUUGUUUGCUGCUCCGUAGAUCUGCGUAGCUAGGUGUUCCCUGCAGUGGAAAUACUCAGAUUCGUCGAAUCUGUAGCGAUGAGAAAAUAGAUCUCAGAUCUCUGACUUGUGCUAUUGUUUCUUCAAUUUUAUAUAUAUUAAUCUCGGUCUGAAUCACCACCAGCUGAUGUGUUUGAUUGGUCUCCUUGUGUGGCUCUAUUCUCUUUGGCUUCUGCUAUAUUUGAUCUGAUGAUUUGACUUGUUUGCUGAGAUAUCGGUGAUCGAACUGUUAAAUAAAAUAGUUAGCUGUUGUAUUUGAACUGAUUUCCUGUGGAUCUUACUUGAUUUAUUUUAUUUGAACUCUGUAGAUGAGCUUGCUGCUAAUGCUGCCUACAUUGGCACACCCGGAAAGGGAAUUCUGGCUGCUGAUGAGUCCACUGGGACCAUUGGAAAGCGUCUUGCCAGCAUUAACGUUGAGAAUGUCGAGGAGAACCGACGUGGUCUUCGUGAGCUCCUCUUCACCACCCCUGGUGCCCUCCAGUACCUCAGUGGAGUGAUCCUCUUUGAGGAAACCCUUUACCAGAAGACCAAGUCAGGUAACCGCCGGUUUUGAACUAAAUUUAGCUUGAUAUCUGUUAAUGGUUCUAUGCCUAAUAUGUUGAAUUGCUUUUUUGUGCUUGAUCUGUCAUCUCACAGGAAAGCCCUUCGUGGAUCUGUUGAAGGAGAACGGUGUGCUCCCUGGUAUCAAGGUCGACAAGGGUACUGUUGAACUUGCUGGAACCAACGGCGAGACCACCACUCAGGGUCUUGACGGACUCGGUGCUCGUUGUGCCAAGUACUACGAGGCUGGUGCCAGGUUCGCCAAGUGGCGUGCCGUGUUGAAGAUUGGCGCUAACGAGCCAUCUCAGUUGGCCAUCAACGAGAACGCCAAUGGUCUCGCUAGGUAUGCCAUCAUCUGCCAAGAGAACGGCCUAGUCCCAAUUGUCGAGCCAGAGAUCUUGGUCGAUGGUCCUCACGACAUUGAGAAGUGUGCCGAUGUCACCGAGCGCGUCCUUGCUGCUUGCUACAAGGCCCUCAACGACCACAAGGUCUUCCUUGAGGGAACUCUCUUGAAGCCCAACAUGGUGACCCCUGGAUCCGACGCAAAAAAGGUAUCCCCCGAGGUGAUUGCUGAGUACACCGUCCGCGCCCUCCAGCGUACCAUGCCACCUGCAGUCCCUGCCGUUGUGUUCUUGUCCGGUGGACAGAGUGAAGAGCAGGCUACCAUCAACCUCAACGCCAUGAACAAGCUCCAGGGGAAGAAGCCAUGGAGUUUGUCCUUCUCGUUCGGACGUGCCCUUCAGCAGAGCACCCUCAAGGCAUGGGCUGGAAAGGAGGAGAACAUCGAGAAGGCUCAGAAUGCUUUCCUCGCCAGAGCUAAGGCCAACUCUGAGGCCACACUUGGCAAGUACCAGGGCGAUGCCACCCUUGGUGAAGGCGCUUCCGAGAGCCUCCACGUCAAGGACUACAAGUACUGAAGAGGAGUUGCAGAGUGUUUCAUAAGAGUCGUUUGGUUCCCCUUUUUUUUCUUACUGUCAUAGGAUCGAAAGGAAGAGAGAAUAAUGAGGGCUUUUGUUGUUGAGUGGGGGAUAUUUGACUUGUUUAUCAUUUUCGGCUAAAGUGGCUUUUGGUUAUAUUUGUAGCGUAUUUGAUAAUUUCAGGGUUUGUUUAAUUGUUCAUCUUUUUGUGUCGAUCAUGACUUGUAGAGUAUGAUGGUUCUUCGAAAUUAUUGCCUUUCCAC